GUGUGGUAAAUUGAUAGUGGGGAGGUGUGAUGGUUUACCUUUAGCUCUUGUGGCCAUAGGGAGCUUAUUGUCUCUUAAGGCACAGAAUGUUACAGAGUGGAAACUAUUUGACGGGCAACUUAUUUUCGAGCUACACAAAAAUGAGAACCUAAGUCGCGUGGUGAAAAUUCUGAAUCUAAGCUACAAAUACUUGCCUGACUAUUUGAAGAGUUGUUUCUUGUAUUGUGCCAUGUUCCCAGAAGACCACAUGAUCAAAAGAAAAAGGUUGAUCAGACUGUGGGUUGCUGAAGGGUUUGUUGAACAAAUUGGAAAUUGUAGUUUAGAAGAUGUUGCUGAAGGUUACCUGACACAACUUGUUCAACGAAGCAUGCUUCAUGUGGUAAAGAGGAACAGUUUUAACAGGAUCAAGUGUCUUCAAAUGCAUGAUCUUGUCCGUGAAUUAGCCAUUUUCCAAUCUAGCAGAGAGAGUUUCAGUAUGACUUAUGAUGAUAAUGAUGGGGUGACACAGGUGAAUCCGGAUUCUCGCCGCUUGUCAGUGCUCCAAUGCAAAAAUGACACUGAACCAAGCAUGGGGCAAUGCAGGCUUCGUACCUUCACAGCAUUUAGCAGCAACAUGGCAUCAUCUGCAUUGUUUCCCUCAGAAUCUAAGUACCUUGCUGUGUUGGAGCUAUCAGGAUUACCAAUUGAGACUAUUCCAAAUUCAAUUGGGGAGUUAUUCAACCUUAAGUAUUUGGGCCUCGAUAAGACCAAUGUCAAGAUACUUCCAAAAUCUGUUGUGAAACUUCACAAUUUGGAAACAUUGAAUCUUCAAGGUGCAGAGUGUGUGCAUUUGCCAGAAGGGUUUGAGAAGCUGAAGAAGUUGCGGCACCUUCUUAUUUAUAAAUGGCUGGAUAGAACAUGCUCGAUUCUCAAUUUUUUUGAACCUGUGGAUCCGUUUGAGGGAAUGUGGAGUUUGAAAGACUUGCAAACUCUGUCUGCAGUUCGAUCUAGUAAAGUAUUCAUUGUCAAACUAGCAAAUUUAUCUCAGCUGAGGAUCCUUCGCAUUACUGGGAUAAGGAGCAUCCACUGUGCACAACUGUGUGACUCUCUGUCAAAGUUGCAUCAGCUCUCAGUAUUAGGAAUAGUAGCCAGCAAUGAAGAUGAGGUGCUCCAGCUUGAAACUUUGACAUUGUCAUACCGCCUUAAAAAGUUCGGUUUAUCAGGGCGGAUUUCCGAAGGAACAUGGAAAUCUCCAUUUUUCUCAACUAACGGAGAUGUCCUUUACGAAAUAUCUCUACGUUGGUGCCAGCUCUCAGAGAACCCAGUGCCACGCCUCUCUGAAUUGUCAAAUUUGACCGCUAUACGUCUACGCAAAGCAUAUACUGGACAGGAGCUAACGUUCCAUCCAGAGUGGUUCCCUAAUGUGAAGACCCUUUCCUUGUAUGAUCUGCCACAUGUCAACCAAAUAUACAUACACGAGGGAUCUUUGGUCCGCCUUGAAGAACUUCGGAUUAGAAACCUGGCCGAACUGCGGGACACCCCUGCCGGCCUGGAACAUCUGAAGUCACUCAAAGGGGUGCGGUUUCUUGACAUGCAUCCUGAUUUUGAAAAGAACUUUCCAGUGGCAAAACUAGAGCAUGUCCCGAAAGUUCGCUGCACCAUACGGUAAUUGCAACAUCCUUAAUUAGCUGGCCAAUAUAUUAGGUUCGCCAUUUUCAUGCGAUUCGUUGUGUGCUUGAUCACCUGCACCAAGUUCUAGCUUCUGGAUUGAUGAAAUUUCGUUUUGCUGCAGAUACGAAGAGGAGUGAGUCUUUCUUGCGUGGAUGGGGUUUGCAAUUAUCGCCAUCAAUGUGGGAGCUAUGUACGUGGAAUGGCGAUUUUUAUGACGCAACUUUCAUUCUUGUUUCUUUUAUCGAUCUCUGCUUAUUUAAACAAGAACUGGUUUGUACUCCCUCCGUUCCUAAAUAUAAGUCUUUUAAGCGAUUUCAUUAGAUGUCUACAUACGAAGCAAAAUGAUUGAAUGUACACUUUAAAUUAUGUCUAUAUACAUCCGUAUGUAGACAUCUAGUGAAAUCGCUUAAAAGACUUAUAUUUAGGAACGGAGGGAGUAAUAAAGUAUGGGAAAGAUGUGUAUUACUGCUAUCCCAUCUUUUUUUAUAUUAUUAUCUAAGUUUAUUUAUAGUUGCACUAAGCUACCGCAUGGGACAACUAUUAUGUAUUUCUACACAGCGAUUCAUGUAAUAAUGCCGAAACAUUCAGAUACAUGAUGUGCACGUAUUUAAGAGAAAACAAUCCUUAUUUGCCACUGAAUGCUAUGUUCCAGUGCCAAGCAUCUGAACUUUCUUCUCAUCCUCUGGGUACUGUGAGUUUCAGAACUUGACAGUUGAGUUUCCUUGCAAUCUUGCCCUGGGAAACAAAUGUUUUAUGACAUGUAACUUAUGCAAUACCAAUCACAUUCAGAUGGUCUACUUAUCUGCUGCAUUACUGUUUUGCAUAUUGGUGCACUAGUAUUGUAUAUCACUAGUACUCUACUGUAUAGAGCACUAGCAGGCGUGAGAAGCAUGAAGUAGAAGACAAGUACUGUAGUUGGGUGUAGUUGCGCGGCAGUCAGAGCAGAGCACGUCAUGAAUCGGGUUAGCUGGAGACUAGGAGCUGAGCGCUCACCUUGUGGAGGUGCCCGGCGGCGAGGUACGGACGGGCGAGAUCCGAUCUGGUGGGCUGCGAUAACUUGUGAUGCCAAUCUGUAUUCUGUAUACACUCUGCCAGACUGAAACUCCUUGAAAUAAGCGGUUAGCUUUCCCAAAAACAAUCAACAACUCUGUCGGACUGAAAGUCUGAAACCAUAGCAUAUAUAGCAGCAAACCUUGUACUCAGCCUGAAUUAGAAGACAAGCAGUUGGGUGUAGUUGAGAACCCGAUGAAUCAAUAGGCUAUGAGCUGAGCACACACCUUUUCGAGGCGUCCGGCGGCGAGGUGCCAUAAUAAGUUUUUAUUUUUCAUAAAUCUGUAUUUUUAAAACAUAGAUCGUGCGUCUAUUUGUUGAACAGUUUUCAACGUUAGAUUUCUUCUGCCGAUAACUAGAUCCCAUGUUAAUAGGUAUUGACGAAUUCUUUUUAUGAAAAAAACUGGACAAAAAAAUCAUACAAAAAAACCAACCCUCUCGUGAUAGAAAAGCAAAAAAUACGUUUUUUCGACCAAAAUCUAAAAACACCAAAAAAAUAAAAACGCGUGCGAAAAAAUAAAAAACCAAAAUCCGAACAGAACACUCAAAACGCGAGUCAAGACGGCGGCUGAGAAAACGGCACGUGACGGUCCGUAGGAGUGAUAGUUGAGCGGCUCCCGAAGAAGUACUGGCCAACCACUGGAUCCCCUUAUAUCUUGCCUUCAACGAGUCUGGUAACUCGCCGAAGGGGCGAGUGAAAUGGGCGGGCCCACAAGCAUCAUAGGCCACAUCCUCUUUUUUCUGUUUUUUUCCAUGUUUUUAAAUUUAUUUUUUUGCUUUAUUUUUAUAUUUUUGUUUAUACUUUAAACUUAAAAUAUAUAGUAAGAAAACAAUCAUUACAAAAAACGUUCGAAAAUUAUUGAAUAAGGUUAAAAAAUUGAACAAGUAUUUGCAAACUGUUGAACAAAUAUUUGAGAAAUGUUGAACAAGUAUUUAGAAAAAUAUCGAUCAUGUAUAUAAAAAUGUUAGUCAAGCAUAUGAAAUACAAAUGUAGAAUAAUUAUUUGAAAACUGUUGAAUAAUUAUUUGGAAAAUGUUGAACAAGUAUUUAAAAAAUAUGUUGAUCAUGUAUAUAAAAAUGUUAAUCGAAUGUUUGAAAAACAAAUGUAGAACAAGUAGUUGAAAAAUGUUGGAUAAAUAUUUGGAAAUGUUGAGCAAGUAUUUAAAAAGAGAUAAAUGCUUGGGCGGUCCUCAAAGUUUCCAAGGUAUGUCAAGUAGGUCUCAAAUAUUUGAAAAUCCACGUCUGCGUCCUAAAUGUUACGUAAGUGAUUCAUUCCAGGUACUUUUCUCGUCUGACCAGCUUUGACCCACGUCAUGUGGACAGCGGGCCCAGGAGACCAAACGGUAAUAUUAAAUGUGGUUAAACAUGGCAAGAGGUGAAGCGCAAUUAAACUACCUAUCUAGGCAUUUUAAAUGAGGUCGGAAAUGACAUAUAGCACCUCCGAGAUGACCUCACAUGUUAAUUUACAAUNNNNNNNNNNACAUUUUAAAUGAGGUCGAAAAUGACAUAUAGCACCUCCGAGAUGACCUCACAAGUUAAUUUACAAUUCUGUCCAGAUCUGAACUAAUGCAUUUAAUUAGUUGUUAAACCGCAAAACAAAUAGGUUCACGUGAUUCUACGCGUCAUUUCAAGCAAUCUACACAUAAAGAACAUAUCCAACGGCGCUACGGAUCAAAAGUUACAAGCACCGCAAGAUAUGAUGGCAUGAAUGCAAUAUGUGUGCAACGACGGUCUCGAGCCCUUCAAAACAUACAAUCCGCAAGAGAAAAUGAAACUACGCGAGAUUCUAAGCAAGUUUAAUAUAUGACUCGAUCAAAACGGAGCUACGGUUCAACAUCUACAAGCAAAACAAGAAAACACUACAAUCUGCCAAAAUCAGCCACAUAGCAUUUUCUACGCCCCNNNNNNNNNNUGCCCUUCAAAAACAUACAAUCCGCAAGAGAAAAUGAAACUACACGAGAUUCUAAGCAAGUUUCAUAUAGGACUCGAUCAAAACGGAGCUACGGUUCAACAUCUACAAGCAAAACAAGGAAACACUACAAUCUGCCAAAAUCAGCCACAUAGCAUUUUCUACGCCCCACAACUACGAGCUACACAACUCCGAUAAACUCAAGCAAGGCAUGGCACGAAAGAGGGCAAGACGCACUACUACAAACAACUAACAACAACUAGCAUGGCAGCAAGGAACACUAGGGAAAGAAGUCACAAAAUGGCUUCCCACACACUAUUUCAGACUUAGUGAAAAUAACACCCCAUGAAAGUGCAGUUUUCGAUCUGAAGCAAUAUUGACAGCAGCAAAACCUAUAGCUACAGGACUCCAAAUGGUAUGAAAAUUUAUAGCAUGCUAGAGAAACACAAAGGGUACAACUAACUCCAUUGGACCAACCUCAAAAGAGCUACAGAUCACAAGAUGCAAGCAAGGCAAGACAGCAACAAAAUAAUAACAGAUCCCAGACUUAGAAAUAUUUCAGCACCUCCAAAUCAGCACUAUUUCUAACAACUUGAGAGCAAGCAAACAACACCUAAACAUGCAUUUCUAUUGCAACCAAAAAUACGAGGAGCUAAACAAAACAUCCAAGAUCAAAUCUCUAGUUGACAACUAAUUCAAACGAGGCACGGGAUAAAUCCUACGAAUUAAUCAAAAAGGCAACAUAGCAAAAUAUCUCGCGAACUAACUUGCUAUAAUGCUAAAACUAAUUGCACAGAAAAAUCCAUGAGAUUGUUUUACACCCGGAAACAUAUAAAAUAUGUGGGGUUUGCAACACAAAAUAAUGCCGCACAUAAAUGCGAGAAAAAUAACCUAUACACGGGAAAAUAAAUUACCGGCAAACCCUACACGCAAAAAUACAAAUGACUGGUCUAAAGUACAUGGAAAAAUAGUUCCUAGAACAUGGGCAUUUUGUCUAAGGUACUCGAGCAAUCCGGACCGCAAGAAAAAAAAAUACGGGACGAAACAAUAUAGGACAGCACGUUAAACUAGGCGUUCGACACGUAAAACUAUGUCAAAUAAUUAUGCAAGUUGUGAAAUCAUGUUCUACUCGCAAAACUACCCCAAAACCAUAUAAAACACUCCUCGUUCCGACUUACGGAUAAAAAGUUACGGGCAUUUAAAUAUCUAGCAUAACCCCGAAAAUAUUAAAUCGCAGACUAAUUAGAAAAACCGAAUCGGGCCUAACCUACACAGGGCAUUGGGCGCAAGAUAAAAGAACGCGCCACAGGCGCUAGAUAGGCAACAGGGAGGGGCUCACCUUGUGGGCUUCGGCCCAUGAGGAGAGGCUGGAGCAGAGGGGAGGGCGAGUAGCGCUGGCCUGGGCCUCGGUUCGCUCGUGGGCCUGGCAGGGACGCGGGCCGGCCUGCUCGGCAGGUGAACGCCUAGGCGAGCAGCCUCGACUUUCUCCCGAGCGAAGCGAGCAGCUGCGGCGGCGCAGCGCUGCUCGAGGGAGCUUCGGCGAGCGGACUAGGGCGGCGCUGGCUGGAGAUGGAACACACCUCCCCGGGCCGGAUCUCGCCGGAACCGGCCGGAUCUGGGCGGCGUCGACGGAGAUCAAUCAGGGCUCGUUCGCUGCAGAGAGAGAGAGGAAGAGAAGUGGUGAGGGAGAGGAGGUAGGAGGAGAAGGGAGAGGAGAACGCAGGGCACCGGUUGGAUGGCGGCGGGGUCAGCGCGGUGGCGGCUUGCCGGAGCACCGGUGGCCGGCCGACGUGGGAGGAAGGCAGGGGGGUCUCCGACGAGGGAGAGGCGAGGGGAGGCUCCGGCGUCGAGGGAUCUCUCGGGCACGGGCUGCGCGGAGCGCUGCGGGCGGCGGCGCGAUGCGGGCUCGGGCGGUCCCCGGAUGGGCUUCGCGGGCCCGGCGGCUGGAGGGAGGAGAGAGGAUGGCUAGGGUUUCGGGGGGGGGGGGGGNNNNNNNNNNNNNNNNNNNNNNNNNNNNNNNNNNNNNNNNNNNNNNNNNNNNNNNNNNNNNNNNNNNNNNNNNNNNNNNNNNNNNNNNNNNNNNNNNNNNNNNNNNNNNNNNNNNNNNNNNNNNNNNNNNNNNNNNNNNNNNNNNNNNNNUGACUGUCUAAAAAAUAGGAAGAGGGGUAUAUAUAGGGAAAAGAGGGGCUCGGUUAACCGGAAUCGCAUUCCGGAUCCAACCGCGGGGUCGGAUUCGGACGAUUCCGAAUGCGGGUAUGGGUACGCGGCCGUGUAGAGGGGAUAUCCGGAGACGAGAGGGAGAACGGGCGGCCCGACAUGAAUUUUAAAACAUCGACAGACAUCUGACGGUAGACCGAUUACGGUGCCACUACGGUCGACCGUUCGGGUACCAGAUGGACUCCGAUCGCGACGAAAUUGGACAGGCGGCCUAGCUAUAUCUAAUCACGACCGCAUGCCAAGUUUCAUCUUGAUUAGAGAAAGUUUUAAACGCACUUUUAAAACAGAGUUACGACGGUGCCGGGGGGGCGUGCGUGUGUGGUCGGGCUAAGAACGGACAACGACUCGAACCGGCAACUAACAACGGAUGCAAGUUUUGAAAACUGGCGGCAACGGAGACGCCGAUGCAAUGCUAAUGAUGCGCAUGAUGCGAUGAUGAUGCAACAAAUAAAAUAAGCCACAUGACGAAAACGGAAAGGAAAGGGAAUCUUCUGGAACGUCGACAUCGGGCUGUCACAACUCUCCUACACUACAAGAGGAUCUCGCCCCGAGAUCCAAGAAUGAAAGGGGGGAGAGGAUGAGAAAGAACGAGUGGUAAAAACUUAGUCGCUUCUUUGACAAAUGAGUGACACCAACGAUCCUUGAAGGUCGCAAAGAGAUGAGGAAUGAUAUGAGAAGGAAGCAAGAAUUCACGGAAAAUUUCGGCAGCACUUCGGUAGGAAAAUGGGACCAAAAAUUCGAUAAGAUGGAAGACAUAGGCAAUAAACAUAAGAAACAACUAAAUAGAGCAAGGAAACACCAUGAUCUUGAUUGAACAACAAGAUUGAUCCAAAAGAGCAAUAGCACAAAGCCUCCGGAACAAGAGAAUGUGAACUAGCUCAAGCGGAAGAAGAGAAUGAAGAAAAGAAAGACAACUAUCAUCACAAUAGAAUUGAAGAGCCUCCGGACAGAGAAUUAACUUAGUAGUUGGAAAACCAACAACGAAGAACAAGACAGAAGUGGGCUUACGAGGAUCAUCUCAACCAAUAUGAGGUGACAACCAACCACUAAAAGAAACAAGGAUAGAUUGGGAGAAACAAGAUAUGAACAAUUCUUACACCAAGAGGAUGCAUUGAGAACUUAGAUCAAAGACAAGCACCAUGAUAGUACAAUCCCUAGGAAAAGCUUUAGGUGAAAUCCAAACCAAGAUAGCUCAAUGAAGAAAUCAUGGGUUGAAAUAUCUCAACACCAUAGAAUCGGUGGGUUUAAUUAUCUCAUCCUUGAAAGGAAAACUCUUCGAGGCUCCUACACUAACAAGAAUGCUAUAAUACCACCUCAAAGGAUAACGGAAGAACAAAUGCACCGAAAACGGAAGAGAAAGAAUACUUGAGGUAUUCCAACAGGAAUCUUGAAGAACACAUGAGAAUGAAUCACAUCCUUGAUGAACCACGAAGAAGGACCUCCGUAUACAAAUGAACGAUGCAAAGAUAUGAAGGUAGAAAAGAAUAUGAUUAUGACCUGCCAAGAUUUAGAUGAAGCCUCACGGAGAGAAACUAGAUAGAACUUACAACUCCGUACAAGAAAAGAUAAGAACACUUGAGAAACGAAUUGAUAUCGUGAGUCACUCCGGAAGAAGAAUUGAAAUCAUUAUGAAACAAGAAUAAGAAUUAUGUUAUGCUUAUCCUUCAUCAAGUUUAAUUGAUGACAAGCAACGGAUUUAGCAUAUAACUUAUUCCACUUGAAAAGAUUAAAGAGAGAUAGAUAAAGCACAAACUAGAAGAAAUGUUGCAAGAAACACCGGUAAUAAUUCACAAUUGCAUGGGAACACCCCGAAUUAAUGGAGAAACGUGAGAAUGAAGAGCUCAUGAGCCACCUGAGAGAAAACUUGAACAAGACACCGGAUAAUCGAGAGACGAACGAAGAGACAACAAUGGAGAAGAAUUGAGGAUGAAAGUUGAAAGCUGAGAACGACGAAUUUUCUAAAAUGAUGGCCUUCGGAGGAACGAGAAAUAAAAACAACUCAGAACUGCACCGGAUAGCACGAAAGGGAUUACUCAUGAUUGACAACAAAUGAGAGGAUAACGCGAAGCUGAGAUGACAGUCUUCACAAGAAUGGACAAAGAUUUACGAGGAACACUCCUUCGAAUUGCAAGGUGAGAAUGAUGACGAGAAACAACACCAAGUAUAGCUGAGACACUCCGGAAUAAUGAGGAAUGAAAGGUUGAGCCAAAUAUGAGAACUAAUUCGAACAGGCCUUUGAGAAGGGAUAUGACUGAUGAAAUUCAUACUUACGUCAUAGUUGAAAUAAAUAGAGAACUCCGGGAAAAAAUUAAAGAGCCAGGUAAGAUCCUGGGAAGAACCUGUGGGUUAUGGGCCCACUCAAAGAAACCACCGUUAAAAGAUAGCUAGAAGGAUUGAUAUAGCACCGGUAAAAAGAAAAACUAGAUGAGGUUGAGCACCUCAAAAUAAUUGAAAGAAUUGAAAACGAGAAACUACUGAAAUAUCUUUAACACUCCGGAUAGAAAAGAGAGGAAUGAAUAGCAAGAAGACUGAUAAGAAUUUCCAACAUGGGAAAGAAUUUAAUGGUUGAAAAGGAUAUGAUGACCAUGGAUAACUGAACUGAAUUCACCGGUAAGGAUGACAAGAAUGAACAAAUAUGACACGAAGCUCCUGAGAAUCUUCACGAUGAAUCACCGGAUAGGACACGGAAUAAAAGAUAGCUGAAGCACAAUGAAAUGAAUGCGCUUGGAUGAAAUCCAAUCAUCGAAGAAAAAGGGCGGGAGGGCGGGGAAAACCAAAGACAACUUGGGACGGAUGAGAUGAACUCCGGAAUAAAAUGAGAGAACGAUCUUGCAAAAUUACAGAGGAUAGAAUUCACUAGAGGAGAAGCACACCGGUUGGAAAAGAAUUAACAUGACGACUCCGGUUGACAAGAAUUGACAUGACAAUUGAACGAACAAAAGAAUUUGCAUUCCCACAUAAAAAUAUGAGAACACCACUUAGGAAAGAUCUGAAAUCACCACUUGACAUCGAAGCAACUUGAAUUACCAUAUUAAAACAAAACAAACGGUGCGGCUUUCAAUUAGCCAGAACAAACUCAUGAGAAAGAUUUCGUCCGAUAUUUUCGUGGACAGGAUCGCACGGGCACGAUUUUACAGUAACCAUCAAGUGCAAGGCAGUGCACCCGACAAACGAAGCGUCCCCGAGUCGUAGCAAGCUACAAGGACUCUUUAAGACACAACGUGUACUGCUGUAAGUCGACCGUGAACAAACGAAUCCACUAGAUGUCGAACCCCAACCUAACAUCAUGCAUUUGUUGGAAGAUUGUCCUAUAAGCAACUACUUGAAUUCCCACCUAUGAAUUCCCGAAAUAUCUGGUCAUGCAAUCUGGUACACGGAUACAAGGAGUAAUAAUCACACAACUCCUAUACUAACCCGUCACCUGUAUCACAUCCGUCAACACACAACCAGAAUCUCGGACCUUCAUCUACAACAGACCCUCGUGAUCACAACGAUACAAAGUAUGACAGUACUCCCGAACAAUCUGCACCAGUACUCGGGACAUCGGGGUUAUCUCGCCACUACUAGUAUUGAAGCAAUUACGAACAUCCUUCGUACUGAGAUACUAAGAAAUCUGAAUGAUAACGAUGUGCUCAAGAAUCCCCUCGAGCUCAACUCCUCGGAAGAAAUUCAAGUCAGACAGGAGGCACCAAGACAGAACUCCAUCACAUUGGCAUCAUAUAGAUUCCAAAAAUAUCUGCGUGAUCCUAAAAAAAAUUUGAGUGAGAAGAGGAGUAGAGUAAAUUAUUACGUCAAGAUUCCUCACCAGAGCAUAGAAGAGGAUAAAAAAGAAUCGUACUCUCCGAUAUAUAACUAGACUCAAAGUAUUUUUUUUCACUAGACUCGACUCGGCCAAGUUCGAUCAAUCAAGGGGGCUCCUAGGUCGGUACUAGUCUGAUACCAACUUGUCACGCCCAAGAUGUGACCCUAUCCUCAAUUUGGCACGAGGGCCUCGUCAGGGAUAGAAGCGCAUCUCGUCGGAUUCCCUAGUGGAAAACCUCAACUCUGAGAUUACCCAAAGCAUCACCGGAAUCCCGAUGCACAAGAUAUCUCGUCAAAGGUAAAACUAAUCCAGCAAGGCCGCCCGACGUGUCGACGAUCCCGAUAGGAGUCGUGUACCUCGUUCUCAGGACACGACGGAUGAGCGAUGGUUACCACGCCAAACGCCGAGUUGCCCUGGGUAGCGUUAAUAAGCUGCUCUGUUUUGGACCAACCCUCUUGAGGAGCACUGGCCCGGGGGUUGAUUAAAAUAGUCCGCAGGUGCCGGCGGGUCCCUAUGCAUUAUUAUUAGGUUAUUAGGCAAAUGUAGUACCAAAGUUGGGCCUUGCCAGACCAGCUUUAAUCUAAAACGAAUUAUCAAGGGGGUCCCCAUAACAACCCCGAUCGUGUUAGCAGCGCUCAUUUAUGGAACAUAACACCGGUAGCCAGAAACUAAGAGGGGCAAAGGUGGAACAAAACACCAGGCUAGAAAGGCCGAGCCUUCCACCUUUUACCAAGUAUAUAGGUGCAUUAAAUUAAAUCAUUUAAAUAUCGUGAUAUAACAAGGAACCCAUGCUUUCACAUGGAAGCAAUGCACCUGCAACUAGCAACGCUAACACAGGGUUAAGCAAGCGGUAACAUAGCCAAUCAGUGGUUUGCUAGGUUGAACAGGUUGAAGGUUAACAUGGCAUUGUUAAGAGGCUGACAUUUAAAAGGUGGUAGGCAACGAGACAUAAUCGAUAGAAGCGAUAAAACUAGCAUGGCAAUGAUAGUAAUGGUAUCUGGGGAAAUGAUCAUCUUGCCUGAGAUCCCGCUUGGAAGAAGAAUGCCUCCGUGAAGCAGACGAACUGACGUAGUCGAACGGGUCCUCAGAAUCCACACGCUGCGGAACUCUAUCGAGACGAAGCAAACCGAAAACACAAAUCAACACACAAAAUUCACCACACGAUGCACUACACAUGUGAUGCAUGAGCUACUGAAUACAUGCAAGUCACGGCAUGACAAUUCACACAAUCAAACACUACACAUUAAGUGAAGUUCAAUAUGCAAAGAGUUGCAUAUUGACGAAACUCCACGUUUAUUUAUUUAGUUCUAUCCCGAUUAGAUACACGGCAAUAUUAAAUGUGGUUAAACAUGGCAAGAGGUGAAGCGCAAUUAAACUNNNNNNNNNNGAAUCUACACAGGGCAUUGGGCGCAAGAUAAAAGAACGCGCCACAGGCACUAGAUAGGCAGCAGGGAGGGGCUCACCUUGUGGGCUUCGGCCCAUGAGGAGAGGCUGGAGCAGAGGGGAGGGCGAGUAGCGCUGGCCUGGGCCUCGGUUCGCUCAUGGGCUUGGCAGGGACGCGGGCCGGCCUGCUCGGCACGUCAACGCCCAGGCGAGCAGCCUUGGCUUUCUCCCAAGCGAAGUGAGCAGCUGCGGCGGCGCAGCGCUGCUCGAGGGAGCUCCGGCGAGCGGACAAGGGCGGCGCCGGCUGGAGAUGGAACGCACCUCCCCGGGCCGGAUCUCGCCGGAACCGGCCGGAUCUGGGCGGCAUCGACUGAGAUCAAUCAGGGCUCGUUCGCUGCAGAGAGAGAGAGAGAGGAAGAUAAGUGGUGAGGGAGAGGAGGUAGGAGGAGAAGGGAGAGGAGAACGCAGGGCACCGGUUUGACGGCGACGGGGUCAGCGCGGUGGCGGCUUGCCGGAACACCGGUGGCCGGCCGACGUGGGAGGAAGGCAGGGGGGUCUCCGACGANNNNNNNNNNNNNNNNNNNNNNNNNNNNNNNNNNNNNNNNNNNNNNNNNNNNNNNNNNNNNNNNNNNNNNNNNNNNNNNNNNNNNNNNNNNNNNNNNNNNNNNNNNNNNNNNNNNNNNNNNNNNNNNNNNNNNNNNNNNNNNNNNNNNNNNNNNNNNNNNNNGGCACGGAGCGCUGCGGGCGGCGGCGCGAUGCGGGCUCGUGCAGGCCCCAGAUGGGCUUCGCGGGCCUGACGGCUGGAGGGAGGAGAGAGGCUGGCUAUGGUUUCGGGGGGGGGUGGGGUUAGGUUUUGCACGGAUUUCGAGGCAGAGGGGGAUGGCUGUCUAAAAAAUAGGAGGAGGGGUAUAUAUAGGGAAAAGAGGGGCUCGGUUAACCGGAAUCGCGUUCUGGAUCCAACCGCGGGGUCGGAUUCGGACGAUUCCGAACGCGGGUAUGGGUACGCGGCCGUGUAGAGGGGAUAUCCAGAGACGAGAGGGAGAACGGGCGGCGCGGCACGAAUUUUAAAACAUCGACACACGUUCGACGGUAGACCGAUUACGGUGCCGCUACGGUCGACCGUUCGGGUACUAGAUGGACUCCGAUCGCAACGAAAUUCGACAGGCGGCCUAGCUAUAUCUAAUCACGACCGCAUGCCAAGUUUCACCUCGAUCAGAGAAAGUUUUAAAAGCACUUUUAAAACAGAGUUACGACGGUGCCGCGGGCGCGUGCGUGUGCGGUCGGGCUCAUAACGGACAACGACGAGAACCGGCAACUAACAACGGAUGCAAGUUUUGAAAACUGGCGGCAACGGAGACGCCGAUGCAAUGCUGAUGAUGCGCAUGAUGCGAUGAUGAUGCGACAAAUAAAAUAAGCCACAGGACGAAAACGGAAAGGAAAGGGAAUCUUCUGGAACGUCGGCAUCGGGCUGUCACAUCUAACCCUAUCGCAACCACUGUCUCGCCGCCCAUCCCAAGUAGCUCGAAUUAGCUGUAGAUUUUGACGAGAUUCAUUGUAUUUAGGCCCACUUGAGGAGCUCUUCACAGUAGAAAUCAACUAUGGUGGAGCCUAGUAGAAGCAAGCUUUCAAGGGCUAGAAGAAUUGCACUGCAGUAUAUACAUGGAGAUGAGUUGGAGCAGUAUAAUUUACUGUGGGAUUUUGCUGCUGAAAUUAGAAGAUCUAAUCCUGGGAGCACUAGUUUGUUAGUGCAAAAGAUGGACUGUUUGAAAACUGCUACAUGUCAUUAGAUGCAUGUAAGAGGUGUUUUUUGGUAGCUUGCAGGCCCAUUAUAUGUAUUGAUGGGUGCCAUAUCAAGAACAAGUUUGGUGGAGUGAUGUUGACAGCUGUUGGUGUUGACCCAAACGAUUGCAUAUUUCCUAUAGCCAUUGCAAUUGUGGAAGUAGAAGAUACCAACAGUUGGAAGUGGUUUCUAAGCACAUUGAAACAAGAUUUAGGCAUAGAAAGUACAAGGGCAUGGACUCUGAUGAGUGACAGGCAGAAGGUAAAAUCCUGGGAUUAUAUUUGUUUACUUGUUGCCAUGUUAUGUGUCUGUAUGCCCUGUUAUGUUUAUUUAUUUAUGCCUCGUUAUGUCUGUAUGUAUGCCAUGUUAUGUGACUUUAUUUAGGUCAUUAUAUGUCUCUUUAUUGCCCUGUUUUGCUUAUUUAUGCUUUAUUUAGAACAUGAAAGAAGUGUUCAACAAGUGAGUUCAUUUGAUCUCAGUUAACUGUAGAAUUUUAGUAGCAUUGGCCACUGCAGUGCAUGCCAUCAAAUAGGUCACAACAAAAGAAAAUGUCUAUCACUAGGUAGAGGAGCAGUAGGCCAUCGAGUAGAAGAAGUACAGAAGGAGAAGCACCACAGCAAGAAGAAGUAGAAGGAGAAGCACCACAGCAAGAAGCAGCAGAAGGAGAAGCACCACAACAAGAAGAAGUAGAAGGAGAAGCACCACAACAAGAAGAAGUAGGAAGAGAAGCACCAGGAACAGAAGAACCACAUCCAGAAGGUCUUUCUCCACAACCAGAACCAAUUCGAAUAGUGCUAGCAGACGAGGAACCAAAAGAAUCUCCCUAGAUGACACAAACCAGACAAAAACUAGCAGUCAAGAGAAAUGCCAGUCAAAAGGUGCACCUCUAUAUGCAUUUCCUCAUUUUUAUUUUGUACUUGCAAGUGUUAAUUAUGUGUAAUUUAUUGCCUGUGCAAUUUCUAGAAAAAAACUAGUACCACAAUCCAGGAUAAGUGCUUCCAAUGUUGUUGCAUCCUCAUGCACCCCUGAUUUGUCCACAACUAGUAUCAUUUUUGAGACAUUGUUCCAUUUUUGGAACCAACUGGUUCAUCUUCAGUGGCUUUUCCUUCUUCGGGACUUGUAUUUCCUUAUUGAACUCGCUUAUCUCAAGGUUCAACAACUUGACCUGACGUUCGAAAUUGAAAAUCUUAUGGUAGACAAUUGCGUUGUCAUCGAUAAUCUUGUCCUUCCCCUUCGUCAUGGAGUCAUUUAACUCCUACAGGGCCUGGAUGGUAGACUAACGUGACGCGAUCAGCUCGUGAUUGAGCACGUCCACGUCACGUGUUUCCUGCACAACGGGUGCUGAAGAAGGCGGACCAGCUGAUACAUAUGCCUGGCAAGGGUUUCAAAUCAUCAACAAUUAAUUGAUGGUUAGAUAUAUGGAUGUUUGCAAUGCUAGCUCAUGCAUGUCUUUUGUAAUCGUAAUUACCUGGUUGGUGCUCACAUCACUUUUAUCUGAGGCAUACCCCGACCAAUGGUCAGAUGAGUCUAUCCACAAACUAGAGUUUGCCAUGCUGUUUGGCUAAAGAAUAAAGGACACAUGGAGUGUUUAAUUACUCGCUCUGUUCCUAAAUAUAAGUCUUUUUAAAGGUUUUUCACCAGGGGACUACAUAGGAAUGUAUAUAGACAUACUUUAGAGUGUAGAUUCACUCAUUUUUCUUCGUAUGUAGGACUUAAUAAUAUCUUUCAAAAGACUUAUAUUUAGGAACGAAGGGAGUAAUAUGCAUGAAAAGAAGAAGUAUCUUCUAAACUUAACAGGAAUAAACAUGAAACAAAUUAAAUAAAAAUGAAUUACAGGUGUGCUACCAAACACAUAUGAAAAACUAAUUGUGUGCUACCAAACACACAUGAAAAACUAAGUAUGAGUGUGCUAUAAAACACAUAUUAAAAAUUGGUAAGUUUAUAUUAAAGAUCCCCCAAAAAAUAUAAAGAUCCUAUAAAUAGUUCCGUAUAUAUAUAAAUGCUACUGGGACCCAAAAUGUAUAGCGGCAUCCUGCUACUAUCCAAAAUAUGCAUGUAAUCAUCAUGCAUGUUCUAGUGACAGUUUUAGUAGGAAGGCUACUAGAGAAAUUGACAAUUUUUAUAUUUAUUUAAAACGAACAUGGUCAAUGUAUAGUCAUAUCCUAUUUAAUGUGCAUAUCUAAACUUGAAUCCUACCAUCCAAAAUCAUAUCUCUCACAUCCACUUCUAUCUCGCUGUUCCUUCUGGUGGAGAGACUACAUCAAGAUAUUUUCUAUUUAUAAAGAACAUGCAUAGUCAUUUUAAACAAUGGCCAGAGUUUAAACUUUUGGACAGAUAUUUGGGAGGUGAUACUAAAACUAUUGACAAUUACUUUGAGGUAUUCUACAUACAAUAAUUGCAACACAUUGAUACUAGACAUCAGUCAUUCUAAAUAAGGAGGAAAUAUACCAUAUAACAAUUACUUUGAGGUGUUUAAAUGCAACAAUUGCAACACAUUUUCUAAUUAGGCUUAGUAAUUUGAUGUUUUGACCCUACCCUUUGUUGUCAUCCUAGAUUCGCCACUGCAGCAUCCAACUACCAUCGGGCAACUAACCCAAGCCUUAAGAAAAAUGAGAGAGGGAGGGGGCGGUGGACUUACCGCGGAGGUGCUCGGGGGCGUCAGGCGGAGGCGGCGACUUCAUCGAGCGGAGGCGGCAGCAGCGCCCGGCGGGGCUGCGGCGACGUCAGGCGGCACAACGUCGGGGACCGAAAGGAGGAAGGGGUGGAGUUGGGAUCGAGAGAAGGACGAAAGGACGAUAAGUUUUUUUACUACGUUGAUCGGGAGUUGUUAAAACCGACUAAUGCUGGUGUGGGCCAAAUGUACAAGCCGUGCCUAAUUUGGCAACGCGAGCACUAAGCAAAUUCUAUGAUGUGCGAAUUCGACCGACGUCAACACUAUUUGAAAAUACUAAUGAUGACGUCAGUUAGCAAUUUCUCUACUAGUGAUACAACUGUCCUUCUAACCAUCCAAACGCAAGUUGGUUUGCGUAACGCGGAUAAUUCUAAAGUUAUUUGUGAACACGAGUGCACAUCUAUACUACGUACGUAUCUACAAAAUUUCAUAGCAAUAUACGUCUACAUGUGGCGUUUAGAAGAAAAAAAACAAAUAUACUUUUUUAAACGGGUCUUUUAUUUUUGUUCUUGGACCGGAAUUUUGUCUUUUUUACAACAUACAAACCACAACAUUUUUCGACGAUAUUCAACACGUUCCUGCAGAAUACAUACAUGUUUCCAUGGUUUUUCUAGAUUUGUUUGAAAAUUUUAAAUAUGAUUUUUGAUAAUUUUAAAAUACCAAGCUCACUGGAGCUCGGCCUCCAUCGCUACAAGCACAACAUAACGGCUACUAGGUCUUAAACCCUUUAUUUUUUUGCUAGACAGGGAAGAACUUGUUUCUUUGUUGCAGUCCUUCAAGUUACAGCAUGACAAACGUAAUUAAUAAAUUCAGUUGUUACAGUGUUCACAAGCCCAAUUCAUAGCUCAUUUUAAAUUAGCUACUACUAUUCAUAGAUCUACAACGGACAGAUCUACUUCCUCCGUUUCUAAAUAUAAGUCUUGUAAGAGAUUUUAUUGCGGACUAUAUACGGAGCAAAAUGAGUGAAUCUACACUCUAAAGUUUGUCUAUAUAUAUAUCCAUUUGUAGUCCAUCGUGAAAUCUCUUAAAAGACUUAUAUUUAGGAACGGAGGGAGUACAUCGUUGAUCAUACCGUGCUCGUGCCGCGUGAUUCAUGGUGAGGAGCUUCAUCGCUGCGUUGACACGGCUCGUCGUGCGCCGGUGUGAUGCUGGUCGUGGGCGUUAGUCAAAUGCCACAUUGUCUCGGAGGACCAUCGUGUGGUUGCCACCUAUGUUGUUGGAAGCCAUGCCUGAGAGCACCGCCUUCAGGUCAAAUGCCGGUGUCGAGCAAUGCGUCGUCUCGGUGCAAUGAGACAGGUCAUGGCCGAGGUCCUCAACCAACACCUUGUCGCGUGCUACCGAUGGGAUUGGAGCAUUGGUCUCUUGUGCGAGAAAAACCCGGUAAGGCAUCUCCAAUAUGGACCCUUGAUACGUGUCAAACAUGUAUAUAUAAAUUGUUUCAUGCUAUUAUGAUGUCAUUUUUUAAUAUCUUUUAUAAUAAUGUUUUGAACUAACCUAUCAAUCCAAUGUUCAGAGUCAGUUGUCGUUUUCUACGUUUUUUCCUUUAAAAAUCAAUAUUUGUGGGACUAAACAUAACUUUAGGAUUUACGGGGAUUUUAUAUGAAACCAGAAUAUUCCGAAAAGUGCCGCGAGGGCCACCCCAGGCCCGCACGUGGCCAGGUGGUGCAGCCAGUGGGCCACCCACAUGGCUUGGCUGCAUGGGGCCUUGCUACUGCGCUCAUUUUUCGUCUAAAAUCCUAAAUAUUUUGAAACUUUCGUACUUUUUUUUCUGAAUUUUUUCGUCCCCGCGAGUUCUUAUUCCAUAGAGAUUCAAUCUAAAGGCUUAUUCUAGCACCCCGUCGAAUAUGGAAUCCGUCACCGGGGCUAUCUUCAUCAAAAUUGCUGGUGUGUGAGUACUUUUCAUAGGACCUUACAGUUUAUAACAAUACCAGGUCCACAUGAGCUGGCUCACAUGAUAGUGACCUAUAUGAUGUAAUCGAGGGUUGUAUUUGUUGGGAUAGGAUGAAGUGUAUUUUUAUUAUCAAAUUGUUCAUUGAAUUAUAUUGAAUCUUUUGAAUUUUAUUUGUUUUCUAAUUAAGUAGUCAUGUAUGCUCUGCGGUCUAUUAAUUGUCUUUGUCAAAGAUAUCUACUAUUAAAUCGUGAUGGUUCCACCUCGUACGAUCCCCACCUCCUAUCGCUAGCACUUUCACAGAUUUUUUCCAACCCUCGAUAAACCAGGCGAUUAAAUAAAGAAAACAAACGGUUCAAUAAAAAAAAACCUCUACUUCCCCACCCCGUACCUACGAUUCCAUCCACGAUCUACUGCCAUGCGAGAACCAGGAUCACUACAGUUGGAAAAAAAGAUCAACCCUCACCCCUCGCACGAGAGCCACGAUCGCACUCACCUCUCGCGUGGGAGCCACGAUCGCAAAAUUUGGUCCCCUCCCCUUUCCCUCCCCCCUUCUCCGUUCUUCUCUUGUCCUUCCAGGCUGCAUCAGCCGAUUUACUCACCACCGCCAGGCGCCAGCCUGUAAGGUUUACUAGUCGAAUGCCCGUGCGUUGCCACGUGAUAAAAAUAUAGAUAUGAAACAUUUUUUUAAGUGAACAAUAUUUUUCAAACAAGCUAUCAUGAUUCUAUCUCGUGUCCACUCUUCUCGACAAUAAUUGUGUCUCCAGAAUUAUCCUCUCCUAAAAGAAAACAUUAUUCUUACCGUACUUUCCAUCGAUCUAGAAUUAUCCUCUCCUAGAAAGAAUACGUUCCUCCUCACCCCACUUUCCAUCGAUCUAGAAUUAUCCUCUCCUAGAAAGAAGACAUUAAUCCUCACCCCACUUUCCAUCGAUCUUCAGUCUCGCCAGUUUGUUUAAACCUUCUAUUCAAAAUUGUAUACUUGUACCCAUUUUUUAUUGAAUGAAAUAAUUCUUUUUGUCUUGUCUUUUGGCAUUGGUCAGUUGAACAUUCUUUGAGUAUUUUAUUAGUAGUCUUAUCUUCAUCUACUUGCCCUAGCAUUGUUGGUUACUUUUUGUGUACUACAUAGCAAAUGGAUGAAACAGACCGCGAGACACGAUAACCCAUUGUAUGUAUGAUUUAAAAAUGACAUGGUUGUAAACCACAUAUUACAAAUAAAGAUAAGAUGCAUUCCAUAAAAAUGCUACCUUUCAACAUGUCCACUGUCCAUAGAAAACACAUAAUAAUCACAUAAUACAGCUUGAUCAAAAUUCAGGAAACAUUGAUAGAAAAUUACAGGCAAAAACAUGACACACCGUUUUUAAAAUAAGUGAAAUACUCAAAAGAAUUAGUGAACUGCACCGGAAACAAAUUAAGUGGUACUACAACAACAUUCACCAUGAUUAUUUAUUGUGCUAGUAAGUAAAACAGGUGCAAGUUUUUUCUUCAUGUGAGAGAAAAAGGCAUAUUACAAAAAGGUUGUCUCAUGCAUACAACACAUAGCCAAAGUAAAAAUACACAUGAAAAAACCCAGCACACAUGACAUUAUUGCAUAGAGUUACUCAAAAAAUAUCCUCGCAUAUCAUGAAUUAUACAUUGCUUGGCUAAAAGAACUUAGACAUAAACUACGGAGCUACCUCCCACACAUCCCAUCUAGUGCAUCAAACACUCAUGAAGCAUGGUACCUCCAGACACACUGCCAAAAUGUUGGCUUGUUACUCACACUUUGUUCCUCCCAUGACCUCCAUGCAACCCUCCAAUAAUCCCUUUGUGUGUUGUGUGCUUCAACUCUCAACUUAAUUUGGCGUUUCUUUGUCUUUCCAACAAACUUGCAUUUGGUAGUGAAGCUGCGAGCGUGAGUACUUGUCCCCUAGCUGUAAUAUUUUGCGAUAAAUUAAGAAAAAGUAAGUGAAGAUCAUAACGAUACACCAUAUUUUUAAGAGCAAAUGAUUUGUCCUGAAAGUAAUAUUUGUACAUGAAUCGGGUUCGCAUUUUAGUUUUUAAUUAAUAGGCCUAUCUUGAUAAAAAAUCAUGGGCACACAAUUCAACAGGGACAUAAGAAGCAAGCGCGAUUGCUCAUAUUAAAGAAAUGUCUCUUAAAAAAUAUAAUUUCACUUUGGCUUAGACACACCAGACAAAGAUAGUUCAAGAUGGAACAAUGUAAAGAACCGAGAGUAAUAAAUGUUCAGUAGACCUAGAAAGAGUGGUUGCCAAGAAAGCCUAGUAAUAAAACUAUUAAUUAGUCAUUCCAUGUUGUAGCACAUAAGAAAUUUAAUUCCGUCCAACAUGUAGCACAAAGACUAAGUACUCUUAUAGAAACAUAUACGUCAAAUAAAUAUAGUGGUAAGGCUCAACGAAAAUAAUGACAUGCCCGCAAGAGAGCUUCAGCCUCAAGAAACGAUACUGACCUUAAUCAACACCGUAGAAACAAUAUUAUUAUUAUGUUUUCUGCAACAUGGUACACUAUGUAAAAGAGAGCCAAUUAAGUGAAAGAUAAUCAAUUAUCAAAAAGUAGUGUUAUCUCAACAUGAUAGUCACCCUACAUGCAUCUAAUUUUGUUUUAGAAAACCGAAACCUGACCAUUUGACCAUCUCUCCAAAACCUCCAAGUUAUGGUCUUGGUGCAAAGGUGCUAGCUAGAUAGUGUCUUUUUAUCAAAAGAUGGAAUCAAAUGCAUUAAACACUUAAACUAUAAUAACUGAAUGUCGCCUCGUUCGGCUCUUGACUUGCUAAAAUUAUGUUAUGCACAAAAUGGUGAGCCUAAAAACCAACCUUCAAAUUCAUCCAACUUCAUAAGCAAAGCUUAAUUCCUCCUACCUCUAAACACAACAACAAAUCAUUUUUUUGAACUGAAAAGGAUGAACAAAUUGACAAAUUUACCACAAUACUAAUGCAUUAAGAUAAAUACCAACCACAUAUAUCGAUUGCCGAAGUAGCCAUCGAUGACAUCGAGCUUCGAGAUCAAGUGGUUCUAACUGCUGGUCAGAAGCAUGGUCAGUCAAUGAAUGCAAACUAAGGUCCUUAUUUAAUCUAAGAUCUAAUACCACAAAUGUUCCACAUAGGCGGUGCAUUUGUUUCUCCUGAUCUGUGUGUUGCAUAAAAUUGCUUUCAUGAUAGCUGGAGGAGACAACGCAUGAUACAACGAUGACUCAUGGUAAUAUGCAGGAGACUGUGGCGCCGAGACCACCGGAGGAGUGGGGCGGUAGCAUCGAUCACAUUCCUGCUAGGAGUGUGUUGGUGCCAAAUAUUAGAGAGAUGACUCAUAAAAAAAUAAAAGUGCCGAAUUAUUUUCAGAAUACACGGAAUUACCAUACAUUAAAAUUCAAAUGACCUUACAACAUGAACCUCAAAGAGCCUUGGCGUUCAUGACAGCCUUGAGAAUUUUCUUUUCUGUUUUAUGUUCAGCAACUCAGAUUAGAAUUCAACUUGCAGAAGAGCUAUGUGUGCUCCACCUUACUUUGUUCUUUCAGCUUCUCCUUGUCCGUCCAUCUCUCUAGCUUCUCCACUCUUUCAUUCAUCUGCACAUCAUCACAUAUGAUUUAUAGGCAUAUUUUCAUACUGUGUAGAUCUCCUCUAGCUUUACAUGCAUACACGCCUAAUGCAAAUCUCAAAAAAUGCAAGGAAACGAUCGAGGGAGAGGUUAAAUUAUGGGGGCCUGGCGGAAUCGAGCUCGAAGGCUCUGCAACCUUGGUCUAUGCAAACAUGAUCAUCAGAAGUAUUAAAAGCCAAAUCUCACUGUUUCCUUGUCGACUUCACCAUAGUCCAUUUCAAGCCAUGUGUAUUUCUUUGCAUAACACUCGAAAUUUUUGCGGUUGGACCAACUGUUCUUAGUUUUGUCCUCAAACUUUCCUUCGAACUCAUAUAUUGCUUCGUCUCCUGUUGAACAGGGAUGUAGCUUUUGUUGACCUCGUGCCCCUACUCUCCCCCAUCUAUUGAGAACCAUCAAGCUUCCACCAGCAUCAGAUUCUAUAGUUAACAAACACUAAUUAAUUUUCUAUUGUAUGUUACCCAUCAUUCAUAGAUUCCUGGUGCUGGUGCUAGUAAGCAACAGUGACUUGUAGUUGCAGGACGAACCUAAAGCUUGAGUGAUAUAAAACUUAUUAUUGUUGUCUCCAACAUUAGUCUGGUUCAAGGUGGCAUCAUAAAUCUCAUCACCCUGCAAUAAAAUAUGUAUAACGAAGAUGUGAAAAAAAUAGUAGAAAGAACAGAUAAUUGUUCAAGGUAGCUACUGUACAUACUGAAUACUAAUAUGAAUGCUUUGUAGCUACUGUGCACAAUGAAUACUAAGACGAUACAUGAAGGAUGCCAUUCAAUUUUUUUGUCGGUCUAUUCUCUUAACACAUGGUAUAUUAGGCCUGCUAAGCUGGUAUAUUUGGGUGACGCCAUAGUCUAUCACAUCUAUGAAUAUUUAUAGCCAAAGUGACAACCAGAACAUGAUGUAAUGCAUUAGAUACCAUAUGAAUGAGAAUAUUAAAUUUGGUUAGAGGAAUUGUUUAAGUUUGACAUUCAUGGAGAGAUCAUCUUUUGCUCUGAACUGCACAGGAAGUAGGUGUUCAGUGAGCCAUGGUUUCAAUUGAAGUGCACACAUACACGGUACAAUAUGGGUAAGAAAAAAAAACAAUAAUGAACUCACGCACCACUUGCAAUACAUGAUAGGUCAUUUUUAUAUCAUCAGGGAUGUGCUCAUCCAGCACUGCAUCACCUUUCUUCGUAACUUUGACAAUCUUCUCCUUUUUCACCUCCUCUUCAACCUCCCCAACACCACGUGCACCAACAAAAUACAUAAACGACCAUGCCAAAAAACUGUUGCACGAGUAAAGUUCAAACCUCACCCUCUGAUGACCAAUACAAGAAAUUAAUAGAUCAACAAACCUUUUGCAAGUUUCUUCUUGUCCUGGAAACCACCAUCAGCAACUGCUGCAGAAUUAGCAGGGGUUAAUAGCAACCCCUCAAUAACAUUCUUCUUGAUCCCAUUUGACGCGAGUCCUCGUGCCUUGGCCAAAUCUUGCAGCUCCCGGUAGCUCAUGCACUGUAACUGUACCGCAUCCAGCAUCACAUCUGUGACUAUAUUUUCCUUUUUCAACUCCUCAACCUUCCCAUCAUCAUCUGCACCAAUACACAGUGAACAGUUAAUACUCAUGUAAAGUUCAGAUCCUACCACUCAAUAACCAACAUAAGGAAAUUAAUAGACAAAUAAACCUUCUGCUACUUCCUUCUUGUCCUGAAUACCACAAUCCACAACAGAAGUAGCAGGGCUGGAGAGCAACCUCUGUAGAACAUCCUUCUUGCCCCCAUUAGCAUUGAGCCCACGUGCCCUGGCCAAAGCCUGCAUCUCACGACAUGUCAUUUUCCUCCUCGAUUUCACCGUCACCACGUCAUUUCCUCUUCCUUUUUCUCUUUCCUUCUGCUUUGCCAUCAAUGACCACACCGCCUAUGCCAUCUACAUUACACAUCUCAGCUGCAGAAGCCGCCUCCUUCUCUUCCUUACGGAUUGCAGCGUCCAGCCUUAGCACCUGGUGGAAAGGGCAUUGCAGGAAGUAAGUCACAAGGACAAUCCCCAAAUGUGCCAAUAUUGAAAGCGUAAAGAUACACAUCACAGUCGCACCUAGAUGACGUAAACAGACAGAGGGAAAAAUGCAAGUAUAGACAGGAGAGAAAUUCAGAAGGGGAAAAUUCAGAUAGCAUUGCUGAUCAUGUCCGUGACCGUGCUACUGCUGCUGUCUGAGGCAAAAUUCAAAGAAAAGGAGCGCAAAUACCCUGUGGCCCCUUCUCGAACGAGAAGCGCACGAUUGCUGGAGCACUCGGAGCAUAGCUGCAACAGAGCCACCACAGCGAACUCCUUCUCCCUCGCCGGGCCGUCCUCGAUGGUCUCAACCAGUGCGGGUAUCCUACCGGCUUCCACCACAGCAUCACGGCCAUCGGCUAUGCUCGCGAGGCUGGCAAGAACCACCAUUGCCUUCUCCGACGUCCCGGUGCCGCGCUCGCCGAUGAGGUGCACGAGCGGCACGACGGCUCCCGCGCUAACAGCUCGUUCUUUGUUCCGGCGCGCCGAGCAGAGACGGUAGAGCGUGGCAACCACGGAACGCAGCUUGGGCCUUGACGGCUGCUUGUUCUUCCUUCAACAUCUCCGGAUCAUUGGACAGCACAUCAGACCCGCCAGUGCUCUGCUUAUCCAAAUCAUGGUUCACUUCGUGCUGCACAACCGCCUUGCCUUGCGAGCUGGAAUUCUCGCCCUUCCCAACCUCCGGCACGGCGUCAUUGUUGCGUGGGGUAAGGAGCACCAGCUCGGAGAUCACCGGGGAACUCUCCGAGAACCCCGGCUCCUUUGUGACAGCCACAUACCCUCUGUUGCUCCCGGCCUUCUACACAUGGAAAACAACAAAAGCAUCAGUUGCAGCCAGCAGAUCUCUGCUCUCUAGUUGCAGUCACAUAGCAGGCAAUUCCGUGGAAUCCUCCGAAAAAAUCAAUUUUGACCUCCAGGUAUUGACAUACCGAUAAAUCCUUGGCCUUGGCGGAGGUAGACCUGGAGGUCUUCUUCCCGAAGAGCACGGACUUGAGCCACUUGGCUGGGGACUUCCCCAUCGGAACCGCCUCCUAGCCCGCCGCGCGCCGGAGACUUGGUGAGCCGCCGGGCCACGAGAUCUGCGCCCGCGCCCGCGCAUCCCUCCGCCAAUCCCUUCCGCCUCGAUUCCGGUUUCUUGCUCCUCGAUGGAAGAUCGUGGGCAGAAGACAGUGGAGAUCGUGGGUGCUUCACGAGAUGGAGGGGAUCAGGAUCGAGGUAAUUGGGAAAGCUAUCGAAGGAGGUUGAACCACAUCGUGCUCGCGCGUGCGGGAUGGAUUGGUUUUUUUUACCGCACGAUCGAGGGGUGCGAGGAGAGUCAAACCGGUUUAAUUGUCGUUGGUUUUUGGAGGGUAUUGAAAAAACCAGUAGGGCGACGGGAGUGGGAGGAGGGAUCGUGAGGUGGGAUUAGCUGGGAGGUUGAACCAUCACGACGGCACAUCCUGCUUUAAUAAUAGAGACUUGUAGAGGGGUCGCGCAGAUGGGUUAUCACGUCCGCUGCCGAUCAGAUUUCCCCACCCCAGCCUGGCGCCGCCACCCCCAACCAUGUCCAUGCAAGGCGGUCGAGGUUCUGCGCCUGCCAUGCACUGCUAACGGCGUUGACCUUGGUAGUACUGGCGGUGUCCAGCACGCUCGUCAUGGCCAAGCCGCCAAGGUGGACAUGGCUUCAAUGCUGGUGCUGGCGAAGAUUGCGAGCGGCAGGGGGAGGGAGGCGGGCGAUAUUGGCCGUGUGCUACUGGUGGACUGGUGGUGGCUAGCAGCCUAGCACACUCCUUGGGCCCAAGGUGCACAGGACUUCAAUCAAUGUUGGCUCUGUUGGAAACGGCGAGUAGAAGGACGAGGGAGGGAGGCAGGUGUGUCAGAGAUGACGUUGGUUUCCUCCAUAAAAUCGUUCUCCAUCGGUCCAUCAUAUAUUCAUUGGCGUGGGUGAGUUUGCUCCAAUAUCAGUUCUGCAUAUAGUUUGGUAUAAGUUUUUCUCUUCCCCUCUCCGCAUUGGCCUCUGUGCAGCUAUGGAUAGGUGGGUCCAGAGGGGGCGAUGGAGGUGUACUGCUGUAGCUUUUGUUCUUGCCGGAAUUGUGCUUCACUUACAGGUGAAGCUCUCGAUUUGUUCCGGUGUAUUAAUUUCCACAUGCGUACAAGUGUUUGAUCCGUUAGUUUUCUCUCUACUUUUCUCUGAGUCUCUGAGUGUUCCAGAAUUUUUGUGACCCAGAUGGUUCACCUAUUUUUCUUUUGGAUUUGUUUGUCAGUUCUGCAUUGUAUAACUGCUGCUCUUUUGAAUGUAUCUUAUGAUGAGUUUGUAUUGACGUAGUUGGUUGAACCAUUGGUUGCUAAAUUCGGCACCAGUUCCUGUCAAACCUGUUUUAAAUCAGGUGGAGUGUAAUGUAGAAGGAUGCAUGCCGAUCAAGUUUUCUCUUUGAUAUGUGUUCUGUAUAUGCAGAAGAUGCUGUUGUUCGCAGUUCUGAUUGAUGUUUUGUUGGAUGGUGGUUAGAGUCGACGAAUCUGCAUGCUGAUGUUUUGUUCGCCGCUCUGAUUGACCGUCCGGAUGCUGUCAGCAUGUUGCAAUCGCUGAACCCAAUCCAAGAAAGGUUUGUGACUUUCACGUGGACAUAGCCGCAAGACGUUCUAGGAGAGCCUGCAGGGCCGCGCGUGACGACGGCCGCGUGUUCUCUGGUGAUGGGGACGAUUCUCAACUAGCUUAGUGCAACAACCUGCUUAUCAUGUAGCUUGCACUAACAUGUUACAGUCCCCAUAACCAUCACUAAGAUGCAGGGUUCGUAUGUAAGUCAACUAAUAAAGUUCAUAACCGUAAACCCUUUCAACAUGUUUAAGUUAGCCUUUUAUAAUUACUGCUUGAUUUUUGUUUUUUGCUACUCCUAACUGAGAGCUCAUGCAUCGGGUGAAAUCAGUUACCAUUGCUAAAUUUACUACACAAGUAGUUAUUACUGCUCUACAAGGAAGGAAAAUUAGGUAUUUCAUGUUCUUAUAAUUCUGAAUUUUCCACCUGUCCAUGUAUUUGUGUCUAACUUCACAUGGGUUUUGCAUAACUUGUAGUGUGCUACGGAAAUAUUUCCUAGUAUGGAUCCUCAACAUGUCACAUUUCUUUGUUCGGUUUCAAGGCCGAAAUCAUGCUUUCUAUGGUGCUUUUGUGUAGAAGAAAGUCGAUGCCCAUUUGGGUUUAUUUGCAUGUCUAGGUAUGCAGAGGAAGAACUCAACAAUCACACAUGCAAGCUCACAUUGAUCAAUUAUUAAGGUUAGUUUUUCUAUUGCAUUACUAAUUGCUAAAUAUUUAUGCAGAGGCCUAUCACUUUUUUAUACACGACUUCACGCUUUGAAUUUAUGGGUGACAAUGCUCGCCCAUCUCCCCCUGUAUCUACAUAUUGCCAUUGCUACAUUAUGUGGUGCACGCAGUUUGAAUUUACUCCCUCCAUUCCUAAAUAUAACUCUUUUUAAAGAUUUUACUAACGACUACAUAUGUAGCAAAAUGAGUGGAUUUACACUUUAAAAUAUUUUUAUGUACAUCAAUAUAUAGUUUAUAGUGAAAUCUCUAAAAAGGUUUAUAUUUGAAAAAGUGGAAGUGCUUUUCAUACGCACACAUAAAUUACUAAUGCUAUAAUUUUUUGUUUUUUCUUGUGAUGUACAUGCCCAUACUACAUGCCUUGAGGCAUCAUCAUACCCUCAUUAAUAUGCAUAAUUUUUUCUUCUUCAAAUUUUGGUUCUUUUUCGCUUAUAAUCUGUUUUUUUCCGGUGUAUAUGUUAGAUUUUAGGAAAAGAUCAUCUGACCGGUUUCUUCCCCAUGCAGGUUGAACACUUAGGUUCCCACUGCAAGGUGAUUAGGGUUUCGGGUUGAUAGUAGUUCUUCAAAAGAAAUUGUGCAUGGUAGUGGUCCAGUCUUACGAUUAUUCAUUCGAGUGGCGUAAAGGUGUCCACUAGAGAUGCCAUUAUUGACCCAUUCUACAAUGUUAGGUUUGGACGAGAGCCGGAUCGAGACCAGGCAAUUGUUUGACAGUGACUGGCGCUUGUUCGACGUUCUAGACGAAAGGUACUAUUCCUUCCUAUGAUCGCUGUGUAUUAAUGGAUCUGGACCAUUCGAUCAGCUGUAUGAAGGGUUGAUAGUAAGUAGUCCCUACCAUAUGAAAGACCUCAAAAACGAAUUGUUUGGGUCCUCACCGCUCUUACCGCCCCGAUACUGAUUGCACAAGAAUUCAGGACCAAGGAAAUUGGUUGCAAUAUACCAUCCGUACAGAAUUACAUGCCAUGAAAACAAAUAAAAUUAAAUGUAUCUAAAAUUAAAAUAGAUUUAGAUAUAUCCAUACCUCUGACAAGUAUUUUUAGAUGGAGGGAAUAUCUCUCUCUGAAUAAUCAACCCAAUACCACUAGACCUUCCCCGACACUGACGGAACCUUUGACAGGAAAUCUCUCGAUCAGAGCGUACAAUGGUCCCGCACUGACUGCUCGAGGCAUUUGAGCCAAGGAAAGCAUAUGUUAUCUCUGGGGAUAAGGCCAUCGCCAGCCAUUCAGUACACUUGCUGUACAAUACACUCCCUAAUCUACUUUUGCACAUCCUGCUACGCACAAUCUGCCCAGAUUGGAGACAUCUCCCAUAUUUUGCUCCGGAAGGAAGAGUCUCCAGGGACCUGUGUGGGAUGCUGAUGAAGCUCAGCUACUCCACCUGAUCAGCACAGGUGCUUUCUUUGUUAUCCUCUUGUCUGCCCCUUCUCAUCAUGUGCCUUUUCUUUUUCUUUAAACCUUCUUUCAACAUCUGAGAACUAUUGGAUCCGAUUUGGGCCACCGAGCAUCUCGGCUCUGCAAGGCUUGUUGAGACCGAACCUGUAAAUUUACCAUAUGAUUUUAUUAACAGAAACAAUAGGUAAACCAUGACUAUCAUAGCAGAUAUAAGACAAGUCAUGCAAUCUGACAGAAAGUAUGCAAAUAACAUCUGAAAUAAUGAAUAUGAACGAAACAUAUCUAGAGUAAAAGCUAGAACAAGAAAUUGUGGUGUAAUCUCAAACAGAAAGAACACAAACACAUACUAAGUCGCAGCAGUAGCAUUGGGGUUGGCGUUGCCGUCAAAGAGGUUGUUGACAUCGGGGAAAAAGUCGUCGUUUGGGAAAUGAUCGUUGGUGUCUCUGAUGUCCUUGAUGAAGAAGUUAGCAGUCACGCAGAGCGCUCCUCAAAAACCUUAUCAUCCUUCUCCCGUACAGGACUCGAAGUGGCAGAGUUCAGAGGCCUACUAUCCCGACCAGCGAUGCACGCCACCAAUUGGGAUGGGGAAGAACAUAGCAGCUUAGAGUUUAGAACUCGGUGGUGUGUGGAAGAUGAUGUUUUGAUAUGCCUCUCUGAAGAGGAGCAACCUUUUUUUUAGCCACAGGAGAAGGAGGCCAAUAGGCCGCGAUAGUAGGUGAAACAAAAAAGGGUGACGAAAUGAACAUGCAACAGUCAAAGGGUGCAGCUUUUGUAUUCAAUCUCCACUACAACAAAACCUUGAGCUCCCUGUGUGACCUUUUGUAUACCAAUCAUGCGUGGUAUAAAUUUAGACAAUGGCUCGGAUCAUUCUCGCAACCUGUUGCGCGUCGUGACGAGGGGUGGCAUGUCGAGGCGGGGGGCAGAGUAGGAGCGCACAUGAAUGUCUCUCUUGUUCUCAUUCUCAUACAUAUGGAGAAACAACCUCCCUUAUAAGGAGGUCUAACUCCUACUAGGUGAGCAGUACGUAUGAGACUAAACUUUAGUCCCACCUCUUGCCUUGCAUGAAUGGGCUAAGUGGGCCUCUAGGAUUUAUUAAGAAUUCUUAAAAUGUUGUUGGGCUGGUUUAAAAAUAGACUAAAUUUCAGCAAUCCCCCACCAGAUCCCAGAGGGACAUAAAAUUUGCCUUUGUUUACAAAGUACUACUUAUAUACGAGUACUGUAGUGCAGACUGUUAAGUUGAAUUUACACUAGAACUCUAGAACUCUAUGCUACACUGGUAAGCAAUUUGAGUAGUUGACUAGGCCUUGAACUGCAAGUUUUCUAUGAAUCUAGUUUCACACAAAACCUUGACCGAUACUAGGCUACCUUGGGACUUCCCCAUUGGUGGAGCUCAUGCAUCAUAGUGAGGCCUUUCACGAGUUUGCUAGAGUGCACCCUACUCUCAUAGAUUGCAACGUUUAACAAUCAAACCCAUAUAGGUGUUUCCUUCAAAAGAUGUUUUGCAGGACAACAUCUAUGCUUAAAUAAGCCACUUAGAACACAUUAAGAUAUAUAUCAACCUGCCAUGCACAUUAGGAGAGUAUUGAUCUUCAUGGAGUGGUAUUAUUGAUAAUAAGGAUACUCUUCUCUCAGUUGACCAGCAACUUGUCUACCAUGGGAUUUCCGAUCACAUAGAGUAGGUUGGCAUUGUGAACAACUCAUAUUGUAGGUAUCAAACCCAUCUCCUCCGAUGCAUUAUCUAUCACAUUACGUGAUAUUAGUAAAAGGAUCUGCCAGAGUUUUAUACGUUUGGAUAUAAUCCAAUGCGAUAACUCUGGAGUUCCUUAUUUUCCUGACAGAUUUUAACCUUCUCUGAACAUGUAUUGAUGACUUCAUGUUAUCCUUUGAACUACUCACUUUGAUCACAGUUUGAUUGUAUUAAUUCAUAAGGAUACUCGAUAUAGGUUUGUUAACAACUGGCAAGUCAUUCAAGAGCCGACGAAGCCAAUCUGCUUCGGCCGUAGCUGUAUAUAUGAUGUUAGUUCUCCUUCCAUUGUUGACCUCGUUAAGAUGGUAUGCUUGCAAGACUUCCACUAAACAAUGUCACCUCCAUGAGUGAACACAUAUCCGCUCGUGGACUUUAUCUCAUCAGCAUGAAAGAUCCAAUUCGAGUCACUAUACCCUUCAAAUACUUUUGGGUACACAGUUAGUGAAUUCCAUAACUCGUAGUGCCUUUCCAAUAACGCAAUAACGCAUAACUCCCUCUGUAGCUUUCCAAUGAAUAUCUCCUAGUUUUGAGACAAACCGACUCAAUUUUUUAAUGGCAAAAGAGAUGUCAGGUCUCGUAUCAAGAAUCUAUGACCAAUGCUAUGAAAAGCAUAGCCCAGAAAAACACAAUCCACAGUUUUUGGCCCAAGCUUGCGCUUCUUUGGACUUGGCUCAUCGGCUUUUGCCAAGAAGCCCCAAAUUCGGAGGUAAGACAGUUUUAAUCUUUUCUUCUCCCAUUUGUCGAAUGGAGUUAUCUCUUUGUUCUUUGUAGGAACUCGAUUCAGGACAUGACAUGCAGUCAAUUUCGUCUGCCCCCACCAUGCCUUGGAGAGACCCGAUGUGUCUAACAUGGCGUGAACCAAACCAGUUGGAGCACUGUUCUUUCUUUCGGCUAUCCCAUUUGACUGAGGUGAACAGGGAGGCAUCCUCUCAUGGAUUAUACCAUGUUCCACACAAAGAGAAUCAAAUUCAUUAAAAAAUACUCUCCACCACGAUCGGACCAAGCCUCGUGAUUUUCCAAUCAAGUUGGUCCUCCACUUCAACUUUAUAUUUCUUGAAAAAGUUCAAAGCCUCAUCUUUUGAUUUCAAAAGCUACACAUGGCAAUAUCUAGUGAAGUCAUGAAUUAACAUCGUAAAAUAUUUAUUUACACCUUUUAUCAAAACACUAUUCAUUUCACAAAGAUCUGAAUGUAUGAGUUCUAGUGACGCAAGAUUUCUUGUUACCGCAGUUGUAUGAGACUUACGAGGUUUCUUGGCUUGCACACAAACUGACACUUAGAUCCCUUAACAACGGUGAAAUUAGGGAGUAAGUUCAACUUGGCUAGCCACGUAAUGCAACCAAAGUUAACAUGGCAGAGUCGUGAAUGCGAGACAUUUGAUUCACUAUUGUUGCAAACAUGAUUAACAACUUUAUUGUAAACAUCUGACAAGGAUAAGAGAAACACGUCUCCUGAUUCAUAGCCUUUACCAAAAAAAGUUUCGUACUUAGAUAUUAGAAAUUUAUUGAACUCAAAGANNNNNNNNNNNNNNNNNNNNNNNNNNNNNNNNNNNNNNNNNNNNNNNNNNNNNNNNNNNNNNNNNNNNNNNNNNNNNNNNNNNNNNNNNNNNNNNNNNNNCCCCCCCCUCCUUCAUCAUCGUCUCCGGCGAGGCGUCCCCGACGCUAGUCACCAGCCUCCCAGGCUUCGACGGCGCCCUCCCGUUCCGCCUCGAGACCGGGUACCACCGUACCAGGGCACCAAUUCUUGGGUCCAUUGAAACCGCACCAAUUUACCUGCAGCCAGCUACGUACCUAGCUAACAAUAACAUGCUGCCAUUUCUUGUCGAUCGUCGGCAGAUACGUGACGGUGGACGAGGAGCACGGCUCGGAGCUCUUCUACUACUUCAUCGAGUCGGAGGGCGACCCGCGGCGCGACCCGGUCCUCCUCUGGCUCACCGGUGGCGACCGCUGCAGCGUGCUCAGCGCCCUGCUCUUUGAGAUGGGCCCUCUGAGGUUCGUGAUCGAGCCCUACGAUGCCGGAGCCGGGACCGUGCCACGGCUGCAGUACCACCCCUACUCCUGGACCAAGGCCGCCAGCGUCCUGUUCGUCGACUCGCCCGUCGGCGCCGGCUUCUCCUUCUCCCGGGACCCCAGAGGGUACGACGUCGGAGACGUCUCUUCUUCGCUGCAGCUCAAAUUGUUCCUCACCAAGGUACCGUAGUAUCUAAUUCAGCUAAGCUUCAUAAUUCCUAGCGUCCAUUUGCAACGUCAGGCUGUCUGGUAAAGCUUCUGGUUGGUUAACUGGUUAAUCAGUUGCUAAAUUUGUACGUUCUUCAUCUUUGGAUCAGUGGUUCACUGGGCAUCCCGAUUUCCUCUCAAAUCACUUCUAUGUCGGGGGAGACUCGUACGCCGGAAAGAUGGUACCAAUAGUCACGCAGAAGAUCUCAGAAGGUGCUACAUUAUUACUACCAUAUAUUUUUGCACAUUCUCUUGAAACAAAGUUCAAGGUGCUUAGUUUGGAAAGGUGGAUGGUCUAUCCAUCAUAAUUCAUACCUCAGCAAUAUGCAUGUCUUUUUUCAGAUAUUGAAGCGGGACUGAAGCCCACAAUUAAUCUCAAGGUAAGUACUCUAAAAUUCAUUCACACACUAUAAACAUAUAUAACAAUUGUGGUACUACUGAUGUUAAAUGCCAAAAAUNACAAUUAUAUUAGUCAGAUCACAGUUUCUGUUUUAAUGGAAAAAUUGUUCAGGGCUAUCUCGUAGGCAACCCGGUUACCGGUGAGGCCAUCGAUUUCGAUUCUAGAGUGCCAUAUCUUCAUGGAGUAGGAGUCAUUUCCGAUCAGUUGUACGAGGUACUUAGCUACACACAAGCUAGCUCCCAACUCUUGCUCAAUCACCUAGGCGUUCACCUGUAGUUAACUACUGAUACAAAGCUUAGAUUAAUUAUUUCGCAUAUGAGGUUAAUCAAUUAGUUAAUUCAGUUUCCAUGUGCUUGCAUGUGAUCAAUCGAUCUGACAUAAGACAAUAAUGGAGCACUGCCAUGGGGAACCUUAUGACAACCCCAAGAAUGUGAUCUGUGCUGAAGCUAUGGACAGGUUCAAGGCGGUAAGAAUACAAGUCACUCAAAUUGCGAUUAACAGCUGCUCAAGUCUACUUGGAAACCUAUAUCGGGGGGGGGGCAAUUCUUAUUAAGUGGAUAUCUUUACACAACUCUAUUUUAUAUGUGUGUAUUUAAAUAAGAAAGAAAAACAAUGGAAUUUGCAAAGAACCAUGUUCAAGAAUUCGUUCGACUAACCAGUUGACUUGUCGAUUAAUCCAUACUCGUUGGGUUAUCGAGUAGACGAUCAACUGAUAAUUUAUCUGAUUAAUUGAAUAAUUGUCCGAUUAACACCCUACUCGCCAACCAACCGAGUAGCUACUAGUUAACGAUUUCCUCAACAAUGGCAAAGAAGAUGAACCUUCGAUCAUGUAUAUCUCCAUCUAGAUUCCUCUUUUUUCAAAGAAUUCUUAUGUCUAAUAUAUCGUGAUCUAGUAUCUUUGUUGGUCUGUUAAAAAGUCUAUGUUUCAAGAGUAUGCGUACAUACGACUUUCAUCCUGAUAUGUCACCAUCCUAAUAUAUCAUAACUAUGUUUGAUUACACAAGACUUCCAUCCUAAUCUAUCAUUGUCCUAAUCUAUCAUAACUAUCUUUCUUACAUACGACUUCCAUCCUAAUCUAUCAAAGCUGCCCAUGUGCAUGUUUUUGGCCGCCAAAUUCGUACUCAUGUAUAUAUUAUAAACACAGAUUGAUGAGUUCCCACAAUUAUUUUUUGAGUUAAUUACACCACUCGUGCUAACACUUAGAUAGAAAUGUCAACUCCUAUAGUCGCGGCAGCACAAUGCCAGACACUCCAAUCGCCAGCCUCUAAUGCCCAGUAGAAUUAGCAACACUUAUAUUUUUUUUGAGUGCUAGCAAAACUUAAUGAAUACAUCCGAGACGCUCGCUGGGCUUAACCGGGCUGCACUUAGUGCCGCCCAUGUUUUGGGCGUUAGUUUUUUAAAGAAUAUUUGUAAAACAUAUGUAAGGAAUAAAAACAAUUUCCAUAUAUGUGUGGGUUAUGAAUAUUAUACAUACAAACAUUGGUUAAUUAUAGUUUACACAAACAUUUAAAUAUACACUUGUAGAUAAUAAUAAUAUUAUAAUUUGUUUAGUCAAUACAAAUAUUGAAAUUAUUUAAUGAAAACUAAAAAAAACACUCAUGGCUCAUAUUUAACUUAUUCAAAAUAUUGAAUACAAACAUUUGCCAAAAAUGUAUGAACAUACACUAGUGUAUAAGUUUCACUCGUGAUUAUGUUCAAAAAAAUAUUUAAUUUAAAUAUUAGCCAUGCUACAAUAUAAAUAUCAACUUUUAAAUUUAAAUUAUGAAUAUUUUAAAAUCAGACAAAUAAUCUCUGAAAAAUUAUGUCUAUUUUUAAAGGUUGCUAUACAAAAAAAAGGCAUUAAAAUUUACAAUAUUUAAAUUAUACAUAUAAUUUUCAUAAUUUCUAUACAUUAUUUUGAAUAUAUGAAUAUGUUUGAAACAAUGCAUGGACAUUUUUAAAUAAAUUAUACGAGUGUAUAGUUUUUUAUUGAUUACAAUUUAUCUUCAUUAGUAUGUAUAAUAUUUAUAGCACAUGAAUGUCAGGAAUUUAUUUUUAUUAUUUAAUUUUUUGAAAUAUUUUUUAUUUUACAUACGUAUUAUUUAAAAGUUAUGUAUAUACUUAUAAAAGUAAUCUGUAUUUUUGCGGAAAUCCAUUUUGGCUCUAGGGAGCACAUGUCAAAAAAAUGAAAACAAUUUGAUGUGUUCAUUAUCACACCCAAAUGGUUCGUAUAGCCAGCAAUCCGCGUCCGUAUUUUUAUUCCUUACAUACAUUUACAACUUUUUUAAAUUAACAUGUGCAAAAUGGGCCGCACUUAUUCAUUAAGAUUUCCUAGUGAAACUAAAAAUUGGGGGCUGCUGGUUGUAGGGGUUAGCAUCUUCUGCCCGCGACCCAUUGGUCUUGAGUUUGAAUCCCACAAGUAACAUUUUUGGCCACGUCCCGCGCCACGGUGGCAUACUUUAUCAACAUCGUUUUUGUACCCGAAGACAAUCUGCACUGUACAUGCACGUCCGAGCCAAGUUUUGACAUCCGCUCAAUGUAUAUCUCAAGUUUUAGCACUAACGUGACUUUUCCAGCCAAGUUUUAACACCGGUAGUGUACAAUUUUCUUUUGCGAGGGUAAAGAGUUUUAUUCCAUAAUAAUAGGGUUAAAAUCGAGAGACAAAAGUUCAUCAAUGCAUGGUGGUCUACUAUGUAGCUAUACAACAGUCACACUAUCAGUACGACUACACAACGCCAAUCGAUCUGUUACCCUAUUUUGCUCACUUAAUCUUCUGUGAAAUAAACUCUUAGUGUACCAUAAGAUGUUUGAUCUCAGAUACCAAAUGUCCAUAUGCUGGCCGAGACAGGUUGUCACCGGUGGUGUAAUUGACUCUUCUUUUCUGUCACACUAUUAUAGUAGACUGAAUAUAUGCAUGAUUCUGCUUUGAUGUUUCCCUGCAGUUGCUUGAAGAAAUUUAUGACUCCCAAAUUUUGUAUAAAAAGUGCAAUUAUCUGGCUCCCAAACCAAACAACGAGACUACAGAAGGCAGGAUCCUCCAACAAGAAACUGGAGCACUGAAACAUCCACCACCUCGGCCUCCAGUGGAUUGCCAUGUAAGUCCAUCUUUAUUAAUUCGUUUACUGAAUAAGUGAAAUAACGAUGAAUGAAAUGCAAAAAUAAUUUUUUUUAUUUUUNNNNNNNNNNNNNUAUUUAUUUUUUUAGAAAAGGAGGUUAAACCCCAAAAUAAAUUUGGAGGUGCACCUUAUAAAACAUUCAGAACCAAAGAAAAAUAGAUAUUGCAAACGACUACUAAUAACGCGAAGAGGCUGAUCAGAUAUAGGUCUAAUAAAAUGUUGAAAAUAUCCAUGAUUUACUGGACAUGGUAUUUUAUAGAAUUUAUUGUCUGUAAAUUUUGAACCCACAGGAGUAUAUAUUAUCACGUUAUUAGUACGGAUAUCAUAUUAAUAUGUGCACAUAACCAAAUUUAUACUCGGGCAAGUCGAUAGAUUUUUUGUGCAUGCAGCUGAUAUGUUUUUAUGUCGUGAUAUUGGGUGAGUGUGAUAAAGCUCUACUUUACUUUGUUGGUUGGUUCUAACCACCAAACAUCUCGGGACGUAGGUCCAUAUCUUUGACUGAGUAAGACCUAAAUUAGUCCGUUUGUUAUAUAUAAAGAUCUAACAAGGUAUAAAUUUAUGUGCUAGAUGGUUGAGCAGGAAGGACAAAAUGCUUAAUUUCAACCAGCCAUACACCCAAAAUUGUAGUACAAGCCAUACACCCGCUGAACUACCAGAAUCUGACACGCAUAUAAAACAUCACUACACAAUAUUUCAUAUAUAUACCAUGCAUUUCAUGUUGGGGAACAUUGCAUGAGAAACAAAAAAAAUUCUACGCGCACCCAAGAUCUAUCUAUGGAGAUGUAUAGCUACGAGGGGNNNNNNNNNNNNNNNNNNNNNNNNNNNNNNNNNNNNNNNNNNNNNNNNNNNNNNNNNNNNNNNNNNNNNNNNNNNNNNNNNNNNNNNNNNNNNNNNNNNNNNNNNNNNNNNNNNNNNNNNNNNNNNNNNNNNNNNNNNNNNNNNNNNNNNNNNNNNNNNNNNNNNNNNNNNNNNNNNNNNNNNNNNNNNNNNNNNNNNNNNNNNNNNNNNNNNNNNNNNNNNNNNNNNNNNNNNNNNNNNNNNNNNNNNNNNNNNNNNNNNNNNNNNNNNNNNNNNNNNNNNNNNNNNNNNNNNNNNNNNNNNNNNNNNNNNNNNNNNNNNNNNNNNNNNNNNNNNNNNNNNNNNNNNCACGAGAUCGGGGGGUCGCGACUUCCGGUGAAAACCGCGUCGCCUCGGUCAUGGCGGACGAUGGCGGCGUCUAGGACGUCGUUACCAGCCCAUGGCAUCGUUGUUGCAGGUCAUGGCACCACACUCGUGAUGCUCCGAGGGAAACCUUAGAUCCGGAUCUACCGGUCGAAUGAUGAUGGCAUCUUCGANNNNNNNNNNNNNNNNNNNNNNNNNNNNNNNNNNNNNNNNNNNNNNNNNNNNNNNNNNNNNNNNNNNNNNNNNNNNNNNNNNNNNNNNNNNNNNNNNNNNGCGCACUCUCCCUCGGGAGAGGGCGCGCACGGGCAAGAGGACUGAAGGGGGCCACCGCUGCAAGCGAAAAGCAAGUAGACGGAGGCCAGAUCCGCGGCGCAGGACCUCUUGGUCGCCGCUGCCGGCGGCGAGAUCCACAGCNNNNNNNNNNNNNNNNNNNNNNNNNNNNNNNNNNNNNNNNNNNNNNNNNNNNNNNNNNNNNNNNNNNNNNNNNNNNNNNNNNNNNNNNNNNNNNNNNNNNNNNNNNNNNNNNNNNNNNNNNNNNNNNNNNNNNNNNNNNNNNNNNNNNNNNNNNNNNNNNNNNNNNNNNNNNNNNNNNNNNNNNNNNNNNNNNNNNNNNNNNNNNNNNNNNNNNNNNNNNNNNNNNNNNNNNNNNNNNNNNNNNNNNNNNNNNNNNNNNNNNNNNNNNNNNNNNNNNNNNNNNNNNNNNNNNNNNNNNNNNNNNNNNNNNNNNNNNNNNNNNNNNNNNNNNNNNNNNNNNNNNNNNNNNNNNNNNNNNNNNNNNNNNNNNNNNNNNNNNNNNNNNNNNNNNNNNNNNNNNNNNNNNNNNNNNNNNNNNNNNNNNNNNNNNNNNNNNNNNNNNNNNNNNNNNNNNNNNNNNNNNNNNNNNNNNNNNNNNNNNNNNNNNNNNNNNNNNNNNNNNNNNNNNNNNNNNNNNNNNNNNNNNNNNNNNNNNNNNNNNNNNNNNNNNNNNNNNNNNNNNNNNGAAAACAUGUAAAAGAAAAUGUUCAAAUUUUCUGUUAAUUUCGACAAAAUUGUUAUAUUAUUUUUCUGUAAAGAAAAGUAAAAGGAUUUUUGAGAAUAAAAUAGUUUUCUCAGAAAAGGAAAAGUUUAUGAAUUUUUAAUUAUGAUAGAAUAUUUUUCUGUAAUAGUGACAUUAUUUUUCUGCAAAGAAAAAUAAAAAGUUUCUGAAAAUACAAUAUUUUUUCAGAAAAAGAAAAGUUCAUGGAUUUUAUAAAAGUAAUUAUAAAGUUCGUGAAACUUUGAUUUUAAGAGAAUAUUUUUCUGUAAAGGUGCAUGAAUUUUUAUAUUCACGUUUUUCAGCUGCAAAGUAAAAAGGUUUAGUCAUCCAAUUAAAUUGGAACCAACGGGAAAAUUUAAUUGGAAGAACUGUGGGGGGGGGGGGGGGAGCAAAGUUUUUCCCUUGUGGGUGAAGUAAAAUUCAAACAGUUUCCGCUAUGACAAUAGAAUAAUGUUUGUUUUAAAGUUAAAUAUGGUAUUGUUGUUUUCUGACCAACGUUGAUGAUAACAAUACUAUAUUUGUAUGAGCCAUCUUAUGUUCAAAGCUUAAAUCUCUGGUAAAUUUUGUAUCAAAGUGAUCAAUUUUCAGAGCACAAAUAAAGAAAUGCAUGUGGUUAAUGAUGAUGAUGAUUAUUUCUUAGCAAAGUUGUUCAAUAGAAAUACUAUCAUCACAUUGUUUAUGAGUUAUAUGCAUUAUUUCCAUUUCUGCCCAACGGUGAUAUGGAAUUAAUGCAGAAGAAUGAUGUUUUAUUCUAAUUCUGCCACAACGGUGAUUUAGAAUAUUCCNNNNNNNNNNAGUUUUAAAAAGUUUAAUGUGCAUGAUUUUAAUCAGACCAAAGUAGGGUUAUUUUUAUGCUCAUUACCGUUGUUUAUUGGCUAAGUUUUCUCAGACUAAAAGUUAUUCAAGCUUUCACUCAUGAAAGCGAAUGUUUUGGGUACUAGUGACCCGAAAGAUGGAAAAGAAAGGUCAUAACUUGAGGGGAUAAAUUCUCUCUAAAGAAUGGCUUCACAAGAAAAGAACUCUUGGAUAUUAAUUCAAGAAAAGAAGAGAGAUAGAUCAUUGAGAGUCUUGGUUGACGAAUGUCUUUCAUGUACUCUCUAUGAUGAAGUCUCCUUUUUCAGUCAACAUGAUUGAAAUGAAACAAGCAACACGCAUGUUUAAUUUGACCAACGUCGGAUCAAACAUGUGUGUCAAAGAUAAUUCAGAUUUAUUUAUGGAUUUGAUGCAGUCAAAAGAGCCAAUUAUGGCAUUUAUGUCCCUUACGGGGAAUUACCCGCAUGGCGGGAAAAGUCUGGAAAGAAUGCCUGCGUAACCGGGUAAAGUUGACAUUGUAUUAUGUCAACAAUCCGUGUAUGACGGGAGAAAUUUUGGCAAAGGCCUUAUCCUGUAUGACAGGAGAAAGUUAUGAUGACUCAUGUGCGGUUAAUGUGUCCCACUAUGGGAGAAAAGUAUGGAGUAGCUAUUAAGCUUUCCUACUAUCGACCGUACACCUUAUGUGUAAUGGUCAUUAUGCAAUCACUAAAUCCAGAAAGGAUAAAAGUAACAAAAUCCAGAAAGGAUAAAAGUAACAGACGAACCUAAAGACUAGAAUGAUAUGCAAGUGUGACUUGCAAAAGAGACAAUGAUAAAGAACUCUGUUGAGUUUCUGAAAUGAAAUGAGGAAAAAGUACUCCCAUACUAGCUAACUUAUAACUUCAUUUUACAUGAAGUGAUAAGAUGAAUGAGCUAGAUAAUCAAAGUUUCCUCAUUUCACAAGAGCUAUGAAUGGGUUUCGAAAUUGUGGCAGAAAAGUUCUUGCCACAUUUCGAGGGGGAGAAAGAGACAUGAAAUACAUUGUAGUGUAUUUCAUGACUCCUCUGUACUUUAGAUGAUGUGACACACAUUACUCCUUUGUACUUUAGGUGAUGUGAUGCAGAUUAUGCAUCUAAAAUGAUCCAUUAAUGAAGAAUGUGAUUGUCAAGGGGAGUACGAUAGUCAUUAUAAUAUCGUCAUUAUGAUACCCCUAAAGAAAAGAAACAAUUGUAUUUUCGGAUCUUUUAUAGUUCCGAAAGCAAACUAAGGAAUACAACAAUGGUGCUUAAAGUGCCAUAAAGAAGAAAGUUUAAAGAUACACCAUUUCUUCAGUGAAGAUGGAGUAAUCUAGGGGAGCAUGUUGUAUGACCUAUACAACACCUGUUGUUAGCUCUACAAGGGUUCUUGUGAUACAGGUCCCUGUAAAACCUAUUGCCUUUUGGAAAUGGGUGACUAUAGAAUUAAUUUGCCUCUUGGCAAUGACAGAGCAAUGACAACCCCAUAUGAAAGAAGUGCCAGUACCUGAGAUUUUGAUGGUCUCUAAGAAUGUGAAAAUCAGAUACUUGUGACUACUAUAAAGUCUAUGUUAGUGAAAUUCCAUCAUUUGAAUUUCACUAACAUAGACUUUAUGAAGGGUCUACAAGGCAAAUGUGACUCCAAAUAAAAUAUGUAAAGGUGUAAAACAUGACUUAAAUCGGAAGAUUUUGUGCAAAGAAAAUGAGAGGACAAUUGCAUUCAUGCAAAGUUAUAGAAUGGGAAAUUCGUUUCCCAAUUCCUGUGCAUGUGGAUGACGUCCUACUUACUAGUGGUGAUGUCAAUUCUAGUGCAGGAGGAGAGAAGAAGUUCUUGUCCUCAGAGUUCAAAAGAAUAAAAGGGGUAUUAGGAAUGUCGCAUGAAAAUGCUAAGAAAGAUUUCUAAAGUAUGCAUACGAGAAAACCUACGCCUGUUCUUAUAGUCAAGGGUAAUGGAACUGGAAACUAUGGUGUUUCAAAAGUUAAUAAGAUAAGAUUGUAAACCAAUAUGGUACCAUAUGCUUCAGUUGAUGAAAGCUCAAGAUAUUACCCUGACGCAGUUCACGUAUAUAUCCGGAUUGUUUUGGCAAUAUCCAGUCCUUAGAUAAAUCAAUGGAAUGGAGUCAAUGAUAUCGGCCUCAUGCUAAAAGAAAUAAGUGUUUUCAAAAGAUUAUGAGUACAAAGGCAGGACUUAUGAAAUGUAUAGCGCAAUCCACAAUUGUCGCUAACUUUCAUACUUGGAGUUUUGUGUGGAAAAUCUCCAAAUGAGUGAAACGAUUGUCAUCAAUGUGAUGCAAUGAUAUGUUAUAGCUUGAUAUGAGGCUGAGGGACAGGCAAAAUGGUUAAUGCUACCUGUACCCGGAGUUGAUAAUGGUUGACAACAACGAUAACCAUUUUAAGAUAUUUCGCUCCUGUCACAACGAGUCAAGUGUUGAUGCCAAACACACUGACAAAGAGUUACGUGUUGUGAAGGAGAAAGUACGGAAUUAUGGAAAAAUGCUUGAAAUAUAAAAGCAACAAACAAGUAUUUGCAGAUCUGCUUAUCAAAGGCUUACCGCCCAGUGUGUUCGGAGAACACACAGUCGACAUGGGUUUUAUGGUAUAGUCUAAUAUUUCCGGACAAUAAAGGGCCCAAGGUUAAAGAAUCUGUCUCAAAAUAGAGAGGUACAUUGUGGCUGUCUGAUUCCAUCGGCAAUUGAGCCGUGACGAUGAAACAUGCCCUAUGUAUUGAUCUGCUACGAAACGGGUAAAGUUAAAAGUAUAUGAUGAGAUCAAGGGGGAGAAUGUUAGAUUGAUCUCUUUCCCAAUGGACCCAACGGCCCAUUGGACCUUGACUCACGCCCUGAUCGGGGGCGUCCAGCCCAAGCACGGCUGGUGGGCCCCUGUCGCGCAGUGCUAUAUAUAGAGGAGGUGGGGACCAUGGCACGGGUUACGAGGUUCGUCGCCGCCACUGGUUCCCCACUCCUAACCCUAAUCCGAUCCAGAGGGUAGCACUGAAGCGAUGGGAAGUCCAUCACCGCCGCUACCGCAUCUCUCUCUCCUUCCCACCGUCGUCACCACUUGACGAUGGACGCCGGAGGGAGUUCAUCGAGCACACUACAAGGUAAUAACCUACCACGCUCACCGAACACAUUUAGCCUUGACGAUCCACGGGAUCUAUCACGUAUAACAUAUUUUAUCUCAUUAGCCUGAAAUUCCUGUCAUUUGACAAAAUGUUUACUUUCUUUAUGUAGAUUUAUUUAAUGUGGAAGGAUGGAAUUGUUAUUCAACAUUGAAGGUUGAUUUCUGGAACUGUUUUGCCUUACAUACUAAAGUCAAACUCCACCAAGACAAAUGGCGGAGUCUGCUCUUCUUCUUGUCACAACAAAGAUCGGAAUAGCGGUGGCAGCAGAAACGCUUCACCAUGUUAGAUCUGUUGCAAAACUCUCAGAGAACAUGACACUGAUAAGGAAUGACCUAGAGCUUAUUAGAGCAUUUCUCAAGGAGAUUGGAAGGAAAAAUUCGACAGAUGGAGUUACCGAAGCAUGGAUAGGGCAAGUCCGAAGAUUGGCGUAUGNNNNNNNNNNNNNNNNNNNNNNNNNNNNNNNNNNNNNNNNNNNNNNNNNNNNNNNNNNNNNNNNNNNNNNNNNNNNNNNNNNNNNNNNNNNNNNNNNNNNUCUGUCCAGAUCUGAAGUAAUGCAUUUAAUUAGUUGUUAAACCGCAAAACAAAUAGGUUCACGUGAUUAAACGCGUCAUUUCAAGCAAUCUACACAUAAAGAACAUCUCCAACGGCGCUACGGAUCAAAAGUUACAAGCACCGCAAGAUAUGAUGGCAUGAAUGCAAUAUGUGUGCAACGACGGUCUCGAGCCCUUCAAAACAUACAAUCCGCAAGAGAAAAUGAAACUACGCGAGAUUCUAAGCAAGUUUAAUAUAUGACUCGAUCAAAACGGAGCUACGGUUCAACAUCUACAAGCAAAACAAGAAAACACUACAAUCUGCCAAAAUCAGCCACAUAGCAUUUUCUACGCCCCACAACUACGAGCUACACAACUCCGAUAAACUCAAGCAAGGCAUGGCACGAAAGAGGGCAAGACGCACUACUACAAACAACUAACAACAACUAGCAUGGCAGCAAGGAACACUAGGGAAAGAAGUCACAAAAUGGCUUCCCACACACUAUUUCAGACUUAGUGAAAAUAACACCCCAUGAAAGUGCAGUUUUCGAUCUGAAGCAAUAUUGACAGCAGCAAAACCUAUAGCUACAGGACUCCAAAUGGUAUGAAAAUUUAUAGCAUGCUAGAGAAACACAAGGGGUACAACUAACUCCAUUGGACCAACCUCAAAAGAGCUACAGAUCACAAGAUGCAAGCAAGNNNNNNNNNNNNNNNNNNNNNNNNNNNNNNNNNNNNNNNNNNNNNNNNNNNNNNNNNNNNNNNNNNNNNNNNNNNNNNNNNNNNNNNNNNNNNNNNNNNNNNNNNNNNNNNNNNNNNNNNNNNNNNNNNNNNNNNNNNNNNNNNNNNNNNNNNNNNNNNNNNNNNNNNNNNNNNNNNNNNNNNNNNNNNNNNNNNNNNNNNNNNNNNNNNNNNNNNNNNNNNNNNNNNNNNNNNNNNNNNNNNNNNNNNNNNNNNNNNNNNNNNNNNNNNNNNNNNNNNNNNNNNNNNNNNNNNNNNNNNNNNNNNNNNNNNNNNNNNNNNNNNNNNNNNNNNNNNNNNNNNNNNNNNNNNNNNNNNNNNNNNNNNNNNNNNNNNNNNNNNNNNNNNNNNNNNNNNNNNNNNNNNNNNNNNNNNNNNNNNNNNNNNNNNNNNNNNNNNNNNNNNNNNNNNNNNNNNNNNNNNNNNNNNNGACUCGAUCAAAACGGAGCUACGGUUCAACAUCUACAAGCAAAACAAGGAAACACUACAAUCUGCCAAAAUCAGCCACAUAGCAUUUUCUACGCCCCACAACUACGAGCUACACAACUCCGAUAAACUCAAGCAAGGCAUGGCACGAAAGAGGGCAAGACGCACUACUACAAACAACUAACAACAACUAGCAUGGCAGCAAGGAACACUAGGGAAAGAAGUCACAAAAUGGCUUCCCACACACUAUUUCAGACUUAGUGAAAAUAACACCCCAUGAAAGUGCAGUUUUCGAUCUGAAGCAAUAUUGACAGCAGCAAAACCUAUAGCUACAGGACUCCAAAUGGUAUGAAAAUUUAUAGCAUGCUAGAGAAACACAAGGGGUACAACUAACUCCAUUGGACCAACCUCAAAAGAGCUACAGAUCACAAGAUGCAAGCAAGACAAGACAACAACAAAAUAAUAACAGAUCCCAGACUUAGAAAUAUUUCAGCACCUCCAAAUCAGCACUAUUUCUAACAACUUGAGAGCAAGCAAACAACACCUAAACAUGCAUUUCUAUUGCAACCAAAAAUACGAGGGGCUAAACAAAACAUCCAAGAUCAAAUCUCUAGUUGACAACUAAUUCAAACGAGGCACGGGAUAAAUCCUACGAAUUAAUCAAAAAGGCAACAUAGCAAAAUAUCUCGCGAACUAACUUGCUAUAAUGCUAAAACUAAUUGCACAGAAAAAUCCAUGAGAUUGUUUUACACCCGGAAACAUAUAAAAUAUGUGGGGUUUGCAACACAAAAUAAUGCCGCACAUAAAUGCGAGAAAAAUAACCUAUACACGGGAAAAUAAAUUACCGGCAAACCCUACACGCAAAAAUACAAAUGACUGGUCUAAAGUACAUGGAAAAAUAGUUCCUAGAACAUGGGCAUUUUGUCUAAGGUACUCGAGCAAUCCGGACCGCAAGAAAAAAAAAUACGGGACGAAACAAUAUAGGACAGCACGUUAAACUAGGCGUUCGACACGUAAAACUAUGUCAAAUAAUUAUGCAAGUUGUGAAAUCAUGUUCUACUCGCAAAACUACCCCAAAACCAUAUAAAACACUCCUCGUUCCGACUUACGGAUAAAAAGUUACGGGCAUUUAAAUAUCUAGCAUAACCCCGAAAAUAUUAAAUCGCAGACUAAUUAGAAAAACCGAAUCGGGCCUAACCUACACAGGGCAUUGGGCGCAAGAUAAAAGAACGCGCCACAGGCGCUAGAUAGGCAACAGGGAGGGGCUCACCUUGUGGGCUUCGGCCCAUGAGGAGAGGCUGGAGCAGAGGGGAGGGCGAGUAGCGCUGGCCUGGGCCUCGGUUCGCUCGUGGGCCUGGCAGGGACGCGGGCCGGCCUGCUCGGCAGGUGAACGCCUAGGCGAGCAGCCUCGACUUUCUCCCGAGCGAAGCGAGCAGCUGCGGCGGCGCAGCGCUGCUCGAGGGAGCUUCGGCGAGCGGACUAGGGCGGCGCUGGCUGGAGAUGGAACACACCUCCCCGGGCCGGAUCUCGCCGGAACCGGCCGGAUCUGGGCGGCGUCGACGGAGAUCAAUCAGGGCUCGUUCGCUGCAGAGAGAGAGAGGAAGAGAAGUGGUGAGGGAGAGGAGGUAGGAGGAGAAGGGAGAGGAGAACGCAGGGCACCGGUUGGAUGGCGGCGGGGUCAGCGCGGUGGCGGCUUGCCGGAGCACCGGUGGCCGGCCGACGUGGGAGGAAGGCAGGGGGGUCUCCGACGAGGGAGAGGCGAGGGGAGGCUCCGGCGUCGAGGGAUCUCUCGGGCACGGGCUGCGCGGAGCGCUGCGGGCGGCGGCGCGAUGCGGGCUCGUGCAGGCCCCAGAUGGGCUUCGCGGGCCUGACGGCUGGAGGGAGGAGAGAGGCUGGCUAUGGUUUCGGGGGGGGGUGGGGUUAGGUUUUGCACGGAUUUCGAGGCAGAGGGGGAUGGNNNNNNNNNNNNNNNNNNNNNNNNNNNNNNNNNNNNNNNNNNNNNNNNNNNNNNNNNNNNNNNNNNNNNNNNNNNNNNNNNNNNNNNNNNNNNNNNNNNNACCUAUCUAGGCAUUUUAAAUGAGGUCGGAAAUGACAUAUAGCACCUCCGAGAUGACCUCACAUGUUAAUUUACAAUUCUGUCCAGAUCUGAACUAAUGCAUUUAAUUAGUUGUUAAACCGCAAAACAAAUAGGUUCACGUGAUUCUACGCGUCAUUUCAAGCAAUCUACACAUAAAGAACAUAUCCAACGGCGCUACGGAUCAAAAGUUACAAGCACCGCAAGAUAUGAUGGCAUGAAUGCAAUAUGUGUGCAACGACGGUCUCGUGCCCUUCAAAAACAUACAAUCCGCAAGAGAAAAUGAAACUACACGAGAUUCUAAGCAAGUUUCAUAUAGGACUCGAUCAAAACGGAGCUACGGUUCAACAUCUACAAGCAAAACAAGGAAACACUACAAUCUGCCAAAAUCAGCCACAUAGCAUUUUCUACGCCCCACAACUACGAGCUACACAACUCCGAUAAACUCAAGCAAGGCAUGGCACGAAAGAGGGCAAGACGCACUACUACAAACAACUAACAACAACUAGCAUGGCAGCAAGGAACACUAGGGAAAGAAGUCACAAAAUGGCUUCCCACACACUAUUUCAGACUUAGUGAAAAUAACACCCCAUGAAAGUGCAGUUUUCGAUCUGAAGCAAUAUUGACAGCAGCAAAACCUAUAGCUACAGGACUCCAAAUGGUAUGAAAAUUUAUAGCAUGCUAGAGAAACACAAGGGGUACAACUAACUCCNGAUAAACUCAAGCAAGGCAUGGCACGAAAGAGGGCAAGACGCACUACUACAAACAACUAACAACAACUAGCAUGGCAGCAAGGAACACUAGGGAAAGAAGUCACAAAAUGGCUUCCCACACACUAUUUCAGACUUAGUGAAAAUAACACCCCAUGAAAGUGCAGUUUUCGAUCUGAAGCAAUAUUGACAGCAGCAAAACCUAUAGCUACAGGACUCCAAAUGGUAUGAAAAUUUAUAGCAUGCUAGAGAAACACAAAGGGUACAACUAACUCCAUUGGACCAACCUCAAAAGAGCUACAGAUCACAAGAUGCAAGCAAGGCAAGACAGCAACAAAAUAAUAACAGAUCCCAGACUUAGAAAUAUUUCAGCACCUCCAAAUCAGCACUAUUUCUAACAACUUGAGAGCAAGCAAACAACACCUAAACAUGCAUUUCUAUUGCAACCAAAAAUACGAGGGGCUAAACAAAACAUCCAAGAUCAAAUCUCUAGUUGACAACUAAUUCAAACGAGGCACGGGAUAAAUCCUACGAAUUAAUCAAAAGGGCAACAUAGCAAAAUAUCUCGCGAACUAACUUGCUCUAAUGCUAAAACUAAUUGCACAGAAAAAUCCAUGGGAUUUUUCUACCCCGGAAACAUAUAAAAUAUGUGGGGUUUGCAACACAAAAUAAUGCCGCACAUAAAUACGAGAAAAAUAACCUAUACGCGGGAAAAUAAAUUACCGGCAAACCCUACACGCAAAAAUACAAAUGACUGGUCUAAAAUACAUGGAAAAAUAGGUCCUAGAACAUGGGCAUUUUGUCUAAGGUACUCGAGCAAUCCGGACCGCAAGAAAAAAAUAAAUACGGGACGAAACAAUAUAGGACAGCACGUUAAACUAGGCGUUCGACACGUAAAACUACGUCAAAUAAUUAUGCAAGUUGUGAAAUCAUGUUCUACUCGCAAAACUACCCCAAAACCAUAUAAAACACUCCUCGUUCCGACUUACGGAUAAAAAGUUACGGGCAUUUAAAUAUCUAGUAUAACCCCGAAAAUAUUAAAUCGCAGACUAAUUAGAAAAACCGAAUCGGGCCNNNNNNNNNNNNNNNNNNNNNNNNNNNNNNNNNNNNNNNNNNNNNNNNNNNNNNNNNNNNNNNNNNNNNNNNNNNNNNNNNNNNNNNNNNNNNNNNNNNNGGGAGAGGCGAGGGGAGGCUCCGNGGCAACAUAGCAAAAUAUCUCGCGAACUAACUUGCUAUAAUGCUAAAACUAAUUGCACAGAAAAAUCCAUGAGAUUGUUUUACACCCGGAAACAUAUAAAAUAUGUGGGGUUUGCAACACAAAAUAAUGCCGCACAUAAAUGCGAGAAAAAUAACCUAUACACGGGAAAAUAAAUUACCGGCAAACCCUACACGCAAAAAUACAAAUGACUGGUCUAAAGUACAUGGAAAAAUAGUUCCUAGAACAUGGGCAUUUUGUCUAAGGUACUCGAGCAAUCCGGACCGCAAGAAAAAAAAAUACGGGACGAAACAAUAUAGGACAGCACGUUAAACUAGGCGUUCGACACGUAAAACUAUGUCAAAUAAUUAUGCAAGUUGUGAAAUCAUGUUCUACUCGCAAAACUACCCCAAAACCAUAUAAAACACUCCUCGUUCCGACUUACGGAUAAAAAGUUACGGGCAUUUAAAUAUCUAGCAUAACCCCGAAAAUAUUAAAUCGCAGACUAAUUAGAAAAACCGAAUCGGGCCUAACCUACACAGGGCAUUGGGCGCAAGAUAAAAGAACGCGCCACAGGCGCUAGAUAGGCAACAGGGAGGGGCUCACCUUGUGGGCUUCGGCCCAUGAGGAGAGGCUGGAGCAGAGGGGAGGGCGAGUAGCGCUGGCCUGGGCCUCGGUUCGCUCGUGGGCCUGGCAGGGACGCGGGCCGGCCUGCUCGGCAGGUGAACGCCUAGGCGAGCAGCCUCGACUUUCUCCCGAGCGAAGCGAGCAGCUGCGGCGGCGCAGCGCUGCUCGAGGGAGCUUCGGCGAGCGGACUAGGGCGGCGCUGGCUGGAGAUGGAACACACCUCCCCGGGCCGGAUCUCGCCGGAACCGGCCGGAUCUGGGCGGCGUCGACGGAGAUCAAUCAGGGCUCGUUCGCUGCAGAGAGAGAGAGGAAGAGAAGUGGUGAGGGAGAGGAGGUAGGAGGAGAAGGGAGAGGAGAACGCAGGGCACCGGUUGGAUGGCGGCGGGGUCAGCGCGGUGGCGGCUUGCCGGAGCACCGGUGGCCGGCCGACGUGGGAGGAAGGCAGGGGGGUCUCCGACGAGGGAGAGGCGAGGGGAGGCUCCGGCGUCGAGGGAUCUCUCGGGCACGGGCNNNNNNNNNNNNNNNNNNNNNNNNNNNNNNNNNNNNNNNNNNNNNNNNNNNNNNNNNNNNNNNNNNNNNNNNNNNNNNNNNNNNNNNNNNNNNNNNNNNNCAAGCUUGUCGCCAUCUCUAUACAGAAGAGAUCCGCUAACAAGACUUUUAUUAACGGAGGGGACAAAAUGCACGUUCUUCAGCCACAUGAUCUUUCCUGAAGUAAACUCUAGAUCGACUGUGUCAACAGCACAAACAGAAGCACUUGAACCGUUUACCAUCAGCAUGACAGUAGUCCAUGUGGCCCGAUAAGAAGAAAACAUGGAAAUAUCACUGCAUACAUAUACAUUAGCACCCAUGUCAAUCAACCAAUCAGGAGAACGACAUACUGAGAGAAUAGUUGGAAGUAUACCGUACCCAACAUCAUUCAUCUCAGUGUCACUAAUGACAAUAUUUGCGUUCUUGUCGCCUUCCACAUGUUGACACUUGUCAUAAUGGUUAGAUCAACUAAGAUCCCAAUGAUCAGGAUCUCCGUAGACAUGACAAACACCCUUUUUCUUGUCGGUCUUGUUCUUGAAGUUGGUGUGCUGCGAAGCCUUGUUCUUCCCGUCGAACUUUCCUUUAGCAGCAAACUUUCCCUUAUUCUUGAACUUGUGGGGCUGGAAUUUAUUUUGUACUAGAUUGGCACUAGAACCUCCCUCAACACCUCGAGCAUGUAUUUCUUUUGCUCUCGCCAUUUCUUCCACAUCAAGAGUAUCAAUGAGAUCCAAAAUGGAAAACUCCUGCCUCUUAUGCCUCAGAGAGGUAGCAAAGUUCCUCCACGAGGGAGGAAGCUUAGUGAUGAUGCCUCCGACAACAAACUUAUCCGGUAACAUACAAUUGAAGUGAUCAAGUUCUCUACCAAAUGUUUGUAUCUUGUGAGCUUGAUCAACCACGGAGCACUUAUCAAUUAUCCCGUAGUCAUAGAAUUGUUUAAUGAUAUAUAGUUCAGUGCCGGCAUCCGAGACCCUAAAUAUGGCCUCGAGUGCAUUCCACAUAUCUUUGCCAUUAUCAAUUGAUGCAUAAGUAUCAACUAUGUUCUCAGUAAGAACACUCAGGAGAGCAGCCUUAAACAAGGUAUCAGUGUUCGAAAAAACUUGUUCCUGUUGAGGAUCAAGAACUCCUUCAGGUUUGCCAAUAGUGGCCCCAUAGCAGCUCAUGGUUUGAACCCAUAGAACGGCUCUCAGACGCCACCUCUUAUGGUGCGCACCCUCAAACAUAGGAGUCCUCAUGAAAGCAAAACAAUCACUCAUGGUAAAUUGCCUAUAGUAAGGUUUUUGAAAUGUUGGAUAAAUGAGCAAUUUACCAUAUGAUUUUAUUAACAGAAAUAGUAUAAGACAAGUCAUGCAAUCUGACAGAGAGUAUACAAAAAUAUUUUGAAGCAGUAAAUAUAUAUAAACGAAACAUAUCUAGAGAAGAAACUAAAACAAGAAGUUGUCGAAGAAUCUCAAACAGAAAGAACAUGAACACGUACUGAGUUGCAGCAGUAGCAUUGGGGUUGGCGUUGACAUCGUCACCGGUCACGUUGUCGAAGAGGUUGUUGACGUCGGGAAGAAGUUGUCGUAUGGGAAGUGGUUGUCGACGUCCGUGGCUUCCGUGAUAAAUAAUUCAAUUGUCGCGCAGAGCACUGCCCAAAAACCUUAACACCCUUUUCCGAAUAGGGCUCGAAGUGGAGGGGUUUUAGAGGCCUACUAUUCCGACCUACGGUGCACGCCGCAAGAUGGGAUGUGCGAAAACCUAUCAGCUUAGAGUUUAGAACUCGGUGGCGUGUGGGAGAUGAUGUUUUGAUAUGCCUCUCUAAAGAGGAGCGACAUCUUUUUAUAGGCACAGGAGAAGGAGGACAAUAGGUCACGAUAAGAGGUGAACCAAAAGAGGGUGACGAAACGAACAUGCAACAGUCAAAGGGUGCAACUUUCGUAUUCAAUCUCCACUACAACAAAACUCUUGAGCUCCCUAUGUGUCCUUUCGUAUACCAAUCAUGCGUGGUAAAAAUUUAGACAACGGCUUAGAUCAUUCCCACAACCUGGGCGCAUCGUGACGAGGCGUGGCAGGCGGCCCGGGGGGGGGGGCGCAGAGUAGGAGCGGACGUGAAUGUCUCUCUUGUUCUCAUCCUCAUACAUGUGGAAAAACAACCUCCCUUAUAAGCAGGUCUAACUCCUACUAGGUGAGCAACAUGGAAAUAAACUUUAAUCUCACUUCUUGUCUUGCAUGAAUGGGUUAACUGGGCCUCUAGGAUUUAUUAGGACUUCUAAAAAUGUUGUUGGGCUGGCCUAAAAAUAGACUAAAUUUCAACAGGUGUACGGCGACUUGUAAAAGCGGCCUCGGUAAGCAGGGGCGGCAACACUGGAGGAAUGCAUUUUUGAUGGUUGUCCUUGAGUACCGAGUCUUGGUCCCAGUAUGAAAAUCCAAGGCCUGGCCUUUAUUGGUUAUAUAUUUGUCAAUGACCUUGUUGAAAGCAUUGUUUUGGGUUAACUUGGACUUUUUUGGAUGAAAAUCCAAGAUCUUUGAUCGGACAAUGACAACGAUUGUGCACUAUUUCUUUCUUGGAGGUGUUGCUUUACCAAAAAGGCUUCCUCACUACUAGGAAAAGGCUUGCUAAUGGCGCACCUAUUUUGGCUACUAAUGGCGCACUAUAGGUGCGCCACUAGCAUCACGCCAUUACAUUUUUUUACUAAUGGCGCACCACAGGUGCGCCAUUAGUAUCUGGUAUACUAAUGGGGCACCAGGCAGUGCGCCAUUAGUAUGCCUCCCAGGUGCGCCAUUAGUAUAGCUCAUGGUGCACCACAGGUUAUACUACCAGCUCUAAAAAUAUUCAAUUAUUAUCCUCACACCCACAAGAAGGUUCAAGAUAAACACAUAUUACACCACAAUGAAAAUAUGUUUAUAAACAUGCACAUACAUUGAACGCAAGUUGACAAACAAAUUAACCUAGAUUUUUGCCAUGCAGCUUGUUCCAUAGAACCAAUAAUAAAGCCUCUAAAUAGCUGAAAAUAAGUAUACUAAACUCAUGAUCAAUACACAUCUCUUUUCUUAUAAUUAGGCAUCAUGUGCGUGCAAACGAUUAAUACAUAAAAAAAAGAUGAACCAAAAAUAUGAGUACAUACAUGUUGUCCUCCAACAAAUAAAAAAUAGGAACAAAAAAAGAUGCAUAUUCCAAAAGGCCACAUGCUUCAGAUUUUAGCAAAUGUAACUACAACUAUCAGUUCUGUGGAGGGGGGGAGAUUUAAAAGGUAACAUAGUAACAUGUUGUAUGAGCAGUGGCUGCAACUCCUUUUACUGAUGGCGCCAACUUGGAGUCAGCAUCCCCAUACAUAAACUGUGCAUAAGAUGGAGUACCCUGCAAAGAAUAUAGGCAGGCAAAAUGUACUUAGACUAGCAGUUGAACAAUAUUUGAACACAGUUAAUAAUCAUAUUGACCUUCACAGACAAUAGGUGACUACAAGCUUGCACCUUCACAUUUUGAGUAGUUUGAGAGUCGGGUGGAUAUAUAUCCGUAUUUACAAAAAAUCAUUUGUGAGAAUACCAAGUCACCUCAGGAAGUCGUGGCGAUCCCAUGAUUCACGGCCCAGACCAGAGAAGUCACUACACAAAGGUAUAAUGUGCGGCUUCAUGUCAAGAUGCAUAAUCACACUAUUCAGAGUUGAGAAGUCAAAAUUAAUGAAUCAAUGCACCAGGAAAAUAAACUAAAGAUACCAAAGACAUAAAUAAGUUACCGAUGGUUUUCCGGUUCAGGUUCAGUUAGACCAUGCACAUCGUCCUUGCAUGCUAAGACGAUACUAGCUGACCGGAGUUUGGGCUUGUCAGAAAUGCAACCGGAUGCUGCGUGGGCAGAGAAUGUCCCACUGGCAAGAGGGAAAUUGCUGUUACUCCAUUGCCGCAAUAAAACAUCCCUUGAUUGUAAAAAAAGAAUGUGGAAUUUCAUUUACCGCCAAAUAUUCGUAAUGUCAGAGCUUCCGUUGGGCGAAGUUUUCUCGGAAAACUGCACCAUCUGCUCAUGAGAAAGAGCAUCCAGAGUCUCCUCAGGCUUGUGGCUGACCAUUAGUGUGUCUUUGCGCUUGCUGGUUCCCUGAGCAUGGCCAUGUAAGUUGGCUUUCCCAGCAGACAGGAACUUGCUUGCUUUAUCAAUCAAGGCGGUAAGCAUUUUCGAUAUACGAUACUCCUGGGCCAAAUUGCUCUUGCCCGACGUUCCGCAUCCCCGAAUCUCCCCUCUGUAUAGCUCAAUCCCAUGUCUGUGUGUAUAGCAAAAACAGAUUACCAGCCAUAUAUAUAUAUAUGGAACCAGGCGAUCAGCUUGGUAAGCUACCAACAAAAAUUACCAUCAAAGCUAUAUAUAACUGAAAUCACCGGCGGUUAAUAAUUAUCCAAAAAAGCGCAGACCUACGUAUUUGCGCGGCCUUAAUGAGGAGGAAAUAUAACUGACAUCAUACCGUAGCUCUUGGAUGUCAAAGCGGAUUUCUCGUGCUUGUGCUCCUCGUGGACCAGAGCACGUCGGCAGAUGUCCCAACCACGAAGUAGCUUCUACAACUUCUGAAAGAAGAUCAUCCCGCUUAGCUGCAAUUUCCAAGCAGAUGUCCUUUCCAUUGUUUCUGAUCUGAUGGAAGGCGCCAAAGCUGAGGUAGGGGAAACUAGAGACGAUGAGGCGCCAAACCACCUCGGAAGACAGCAAAUUUUGUAAAUCCGAGAUAAAUGACCGAACAGCACAGCCUCAAGUUCCACAGUGACAAAGGAGCAAAGACAUAUCAGAUGAUGUAAUUUGCUAGGUGGUUUUAAUGUCAAUAAUCACUAAAUCUAGUCCCAAAUAAUAACCUUGCAAGGAAGUGAUGCUGCGUUGAUGCGAACACAUAGAAAUAAUAAAAUAUACAAUUUAAGGAAGAAAUCCUCACCCUCAACUUAUGGAACAGGGCAAGGGCUUCCCUCCAGGAGCCAUGCAAGGCAAACGCCAUGAUCAUCGAGUUCCAAGAACAGAGAUCUCGCCGACCACCGAUCCCCUGAAACACCUGCCAAGCUCUUUGGAUGCUUCCACACUUGGCAUACAUCUCCAGCAGUGCAUAUCUCCAUUUACGUGAUAUCUGUUUGAACAAAAUACCGUUAAAACUGUGCUUUCUUUCAAGGUAACGCUUUAAGAAGAAAUUUUUGGCAUAACUUCGCAACAAGACAGUUGAGAGAGAGCGGGGUUGGUGGUAAUAAUCUACCAGCAGGUUCAGAAGAGGCCCACCAUUGGUUCAGCUAAUACACGUACGAGGAUCGUAACAGUUGUUGUUACUGGAAGAUUUAAUGUAAAGCUAUAAUCAGGAGUACAGGACAAGGUUUAUAAAUGUGAUUCUCCGUGUUGAAAUGAAAAAUAAACACAGUUCCAUCAAGUAUUAACAUUGGAUAUUUCAAGAGCUCAACAUAAUUUCAACUCUAAAAUGAUACUGACCACCACCACCACCGAGUGAAAGCAACUGUUAUAGAAAGAAUAUAGGCAGCGUACACAUAUGCCUUUGUAUAAAUCAGGAUGAAAAACAUACCAGAUUAGGUGCAACCCAGCCGAGAGAAGCAGAUAACGCCGUCAUCACCUAGAAUUUUUUUAAACUCUAUCAGUCAGGCAGAAAAAGACAGGCCAUUACACUAGAUUAGAGCAUGUUUGAAAAAAAUUCUCACUGUUAAUGCCGAUAGACAGCCAGCAAGGACGAGCUUCCGGGGAUGGCGCAUGGCCAGAAUCUUGUAUAGAAGUUAAAUGGAAAACAUGAUAAGCCAAGAUAUGAAGGGGAAAAACAGAAACAGAAACAGAGCAAAGCAGAGUGAGUACAAAAAAAACUCUCUGCAGAAGUGGGGAAUGGCUGUUAGUGUAUCACCAAAGAGGGCUAUGUUUGUCCUGUUACUUGAGACCAUGUCAAACGCAUCAAUCAUUCUCUGAAGAGCAAAAUAUGCUGCAGCUACGGUGCUUCUAAAGGUUACCCCGUCGGUGAAACAUUUUUCGGUGGGAAUUGGAAAAGGACGUAGGAGCAUGCAUCUGAACAAAAACUAGCAACAAUCCAACGCAAGUGGAGAGCCCAGCUGGUGUGGGGAGCAAAAUCGGGAAGCGCAGCUGGUGUGGAGAGCAACUGUCUAACAUAGUACUGUACUGUACUUGGAGCAGAAGUUAACUUCCUAACUUUGUCACCAGGCACUGAUUAAGAAUCUUCUACUCCUCAUAUACGACUGUACAUACUGCAGAAUUGCAAAUCAUGCAAAAUGUUCAAACAUGUGACAGUAAUGCUGGAGGAGGGGGGAGAGAGAGAUUACGUAAAGUAGGGCGGGUAGUUGAAAAAGUGGCGGAGCUUGAAAUCCACCCGCCGCUGCAUCUCCGCUGAAGCGCGGGUUUGCGGAACGGUUGGAUGGACGGAUGCCUGAAGGAGAAGCUGCUGGGUGCGGUCUAGCUUGCUGCGGAGCUAGGAAUUUAAAACGUGGUGGUUCGCCUGAAGAUAUUGACACCAAAUAUGACAUGUGAACGUUCUAACUAAUUUACCAAUAGCAUAUCUAAAUAAAUAAAUCAAUGUGUUCUUACAGACACAUAAAAUUCUCUAUUGUAUUAAGUCUCAGUUUUGCAUAGAAUAAACCUACAUAGUAGGUACAUAGUACCAAUUCUUCAACAUUUCUACAAGAAAAAAAAUACAGUCUAGCCGUCACUGUAUUCUAUCAAGUGUCAAUCAUAAUUGAACAACAGAAAAUGCAUCCAUCAAUAUAAGGGCUGAAUCAGAAAUUGGGAAAAGUGGGGAAUGGGGAUAACCUUACAUGUGUGCUGUGUUUGGUCGUGGGACAGGACAGGGUCAACGGCGGCCACCGGGCAGGACUGGUCUGCGGACUGGGCGGAUGGGCACGGUGGAUGCGGGGAUGGGCAGAGCGAGGCAUGGAUUGAGGGCGGGAUGCAUCGAUGGGCGAUUAACCGGUGAGGCGCGGAGCACGGAAGCGGGUGGGAGGCGGCCGGCAGCGGGUUCAGAUAGCCGGAGACAGUCAGUCUCCACCGGAACCUAGCAAAGGGCAAGAAACCAAACCCCGCACCGGGGACGACGUCAGCCCAAUGAGCAAACAGCAGGCGCCGCGAAACUAGAGGAGAGACGGGCGGAUCUGGAGUACGAGAAUUCUUGGAAAGCGUAGACGACGGGGUGGAUCUUGGGGAUGACGACGGGGAGUCGCUCGAACACCACCGCGGCCACGAUCUUCCCGUCAGCCCCUUCCUUCGAAAGCCGCGCGCCCACCGGAGCGACCGGAGGUGGAGGCUCGCCGGCAAUCGCGGCAGCAUGUUGGGGAUGGAAGGAGGGGGGAGUUGGGUUUUUUUUUAUAACGGGGGGAGUUGGGGUUGUGGUCGUGGGUGGCAGAGACAUUUUUUUACAAAACUAUUAAUGACGCACCACCAGCUGGUGCGCCAUUAGUAACCUGUUUACUAAUGGCGCACCAGCUCGUUAUGCGCCAUUACUAGUUUUGUAAAAAAAAAGUAGUGGCGCACCACCUAAAAUGCACCAUUAGUAACCCUGGUUACUAAUGGCGCACCAGGUGCUGGUGCACCAUUAGUAGUUUUGCAAAAAAAAUAUAGUAGUGGCUCACUGGAUGAGUGGUGCACCAUUACUAGUUAAACUAGUAAUGGCGCACUCUGCCCCUGUGCGUCAUUAGUAAUUUUGCAAAAAAAAAUAUAGUAGUGGCGCACCGAGUGUGUGGUGCGCCAUUAGUGUCCAUCACACUAAUGGCACACCUCACAUGGUGCGCGACUACUAUAUAGUAGUGGCGCACUGCUUGUGUGGUGCGCCAUUAGUAUCUAUAUCAUCUAUAGCCCUUUUCCUAGUAGUGCCUCCCCGCUUUGUAUAUAAAGCAAUGACCCGUCACAUCUCAGAUACAAAUGCACGCCAGCACAACACACGCAUAUACCCAAGUCUGGAAACAUAGGCGCUGAGCUCGGUCCUGCAGUCGGGUGCAAGACGAGCACGGUCCUGCUGCCGGGUGCGAGAUGGACGAUGGACCGUAGUCGGGGGAGGGCCGAACCUACGACGAAAGUAGCAACCAGAUGACGAGGGGAGGGACCGAAGGUCGAAAUAGGCUGCCUAUAGACGAGCCGACACCGGAAAGCCAGCCGUCGCCCCAGCCGGUCCGUCGAGCUUCCAUGAUGCCGACACGGCGAGGAAGCUACCACAAGAGCCGAGCCACCAUGUCGCCGCUCCCCACAGCCGGAGCAACAACCACGCCGUACCGGUGUCCCAACCCGCGCCGCCAGCCCACCAGGCAUCGGUAAAGCAAACGCUCGCCACCACCACCACAAUCCUAGCGCCACCACGACUUGGCUAGGUCCAGCCGGAGCCCCACCACCCCACCGGAGCAAACAGACACCAAUGGCAGAGCAAGAGCCACGCCGUACCGGUGCCCCAACCCACGCCGCCAGCCCACCAGGCAUCGGUAAAGCGAACGCUCACCACCACCACCACAAUCCUAGCGCCACCACGCCUUGGCUAGGUCCAGCUGGAGCCCCACCACCCCACCGGAGCCCCUCCCUCUCCGGCCAGUCACCCCUUCCACUGCCAACCACCACACCGUCCAGAUCUGGGCAGGGGGCUAGAUCCGCCUCCAGCACGGCUCACAACGCCGCCGGACCACGAGUUGCGCUGGAGAGGGAGGAGGAAGCAUCUUCGGCCACCAGAACGCCAGGAGGAUGAGGGAGGCGGAGCAGGACCGGCCCGACGGCCGACACCACCGAGCAGAGGAGGGGCGCCCCGCGAUGGCCACCAUCUGCGUGCGGGGGGAAGCGGCCCCGCCGCCGCCAGCGACACCUAGCCUUAGACCGGCGACAUCCCCAGUGGCGGUGAGGGAGAGGGCCGAGGGGAUGAGGGCGGGAGGAGGCGGCGCUAGGGUUCCUCCAGGGGGCGCCCAUGGGAGCGCAACCGGGAGGGGGGAGGGGGUGUUUAUGCACCUUCGAGGUGUUGUUUUUGAAGAACCUUUUUUGUAUUCUGGGUGUUGUCUUUGGUGGUGGUUAGAGUGUUGUUGUUUCUAGUGAUUGUUCACCAUGACGUGGUCUUCUUUUUUCUCUUCCUUUCGUUCUUUUUAUUUUCCUUUUUGAUUUUGUGUAUGCCUUGAUGAUUUUGGACAUCAUGUUGGUAAAGAGACCGAGUGUAAUGAGUAUCUUUACGAUAUUAAUAUAUUUCCUUGGUCGAAAAUCUCUAGUUGUUAACCAUGUUGUUCUAUUUCACUAUAUCCUACAAUCAUUGGAUCAAUCGACAUCGGAUAAAUCUUAUAAGUAAUUAGGAACAACACUAUAUUGGUGCAACCGCGAUUCGUAUCUCCGUAGGGGCAUGUUUUUAAAGCUUGCUUUACGUACUACUCCCUCCGUCCCAAAAUAAAUGUCUUAAGCUUAGUCCAACUCUGUACUAGCUCUAGUACAAAGUUGAGACAGUUAUUUUGGGACGGAGAUAGUACUAAACAUCACUAUGAAGUACCUAUAAAACCUGUCAUGUUGCUAGCAGACAGCAUAGCCAUAGCGUCGCUUGAACGGACAGAACACCCAACUGUUACAACGUCAUCUUACUAGCCUGAAAUUUCUGGCAUUGACAAAAUAUUUGCUUCCUUUAUGUAGAUUUCAUGCACAAAGAUGGAAUUUUUUUUACUACAUUGAAGGUUUUUGGCUGAAAUACUGAAGUCAAACUGCACGAAGAGAAAUGGCGGAGUCUGCUCUUCUUCUUGUCACAACAAAGAUCGGAAUAGCGGUGGCAGCAGAAACGCUUCACCAUGUUAGAUCUGUUGCAAAACUCUCAGAGAACAUGACACUGAUAAGGAAUGACCUAGAGCUUAUUAGAGCAUUUCUCAAGGAGAUUGGAAGGAAAAAUUCGACGGAUGGAGUUACCGAAGCAUGGAUAGGGCAAGUCCGAAGAUUGGCGUAUGAUAUGGAAGACAUUGUGGAUCAAUUUAUGUAUGUUAUUGGCAAACAGCAUCAGAAAGGAUCUUGGUGGAGUAGUGUGAAGAAAAUCUUGAAGAAACCCCAGCAUCUGUUUACACUAGGUGAAAUCUCUACUGGCCUUGAGAAAAUAAACCGAGCCCUCACACAUCUUAAACAAAACAGAGACUGGACUCAACCAAUAGUUGGUGUGGGCGAUGUUUUUGCAACAAAUUAUGACAGCCAACAACAACUAUAUCUUCCUGGACAUGAUUACUCGAUCUCUGAUGAUGAACUUGUGGGAUUUGAUAAAAAUAGAAAAAUAUUGAUGGGGUCACUGAAUUUGGAAAAUUGUCUCAACCUGCAAAUCAUUGCGUUGUGGGGUAUGGGUGGUAUCGGGAAAAGCACUCUUGUCAGUAAUGUGUUCAGAAAAGAAGCACCCAACUUUGAAUGCCAUGCAUGGGUUUCUGUCUCCCAGUCCUAUAAACUAGAUGAUAUUUGGAGAAGAAUGCUGAAAGAAAUCUAUUCUAAAGACAAGAAAGAAUUUCAUGCUGAGAAGAUGACCUGUGGGGAGCUACAGGAUGAAUUGAAGGAAAUCCUGAAGAAAAAGCGAUACUUGAUCAUAUUGGAUGAUGUCUGGACAGCUGAAGAUUUUAGAAAAAUUAAAGAGGUUCUUGUUGAUGCAAAAAUGGGAAGCAGAAUAAUAAUCACAACAAGAUCUGAAGAAGUUGCUUCAAUAGCUCAUGAUGGUUGCAGGAUCAAAGUGGAGCCUCUUGAGGAGGAGGAUGCAUGGCGUCUUUUUUGCAGGAAGGCAUUUCCAAACACUGAAAAUCACAUCUGUCCAUUAGCAUUACAAGAGUAUGGUAAAUUGAUAGUGGGGAGGUGUGAUGGUUUGCCAUUAGCUCUUGUGGCUAUAGGGAGCUCAUUGUCUCUUAAGGCGCAGAAUUUGACAGAGUGGAAACUAUUUGACGAGCAACUUAUUUUCGAGCUACACAAAAAUGAGAACCUAAGUCGCGUGGUGAAAAUUCUGAAUCUAAGCUACAAAUACUUGCCUGACUAUUUGAAGAGUUGUUUCUUGUAUUGUGCCAUGUUCCCAGAAGACCACAUGAUUCAUAGAAAAAGAUUGAUCAGACUGUGGAUUGCAGAAGGAUUUAUUGAACAAAUU
RNAcentral lists this long non-coding RNA (60054 nucleotides) under Hordeum vulgare. RNAcentral describes it as "long non-coding RNA (HVUL_LNC002595)". The stretch from base 1922 to 2093 matches the Rfam family "MIR1120/MIR1122 microRNA precursor family". The record is from RNAcentral. Lineage: Eukaryota; Viridiplantae; Streptophyta; Magnoliopsida; Poales; Poaceae.